RNAcentral lists this long non-coding RNA (77231 nucleotides) under Ananas comosus (pineapple). RNAcentral's name for it is "long non-coding RNA (ACOM_LNC026710)". The record is from RNAcentral. Lineage: Eukaryota; Viridiplantae; Streptophyta; Magnoliopsida; Poales; Bromeliaceae.
CGACCUCGCCGACUCACUCAUUAGGUCUAUUCAGGCAUAUGUAGGCAAAAGAAGUAAAUAGAUAGUAACCAACUAUAACAUGUAACUACUACAAUGCCUGUACAAAGCUGAAAGAAAGCAAUAGCUGAAAAUUGUAAGUAUGCAUGCAUACUUUUACUGAAUUUACCCAAUCUUUUGGUUAACCCUCUGGUUAACAAUAACUCACUGACACUAUCCCAAAUAUCGGGGAUACGCAACCUGCACCCGACGGGACUGUCAACUGGGGGAGACGCACCUCCUGGUCCAGUAAAGAUGACUACUCCGGAGCUCAUCGUUCAAGGAGGAGCGACCUACCUUGAACCAAACGAAUGUGAGUAUGAUCUGAUCCUCCUUUAGAGGAUUCAACAAUAGACGAUGUCACACUUUAACUCUAACUAGCUCUUUAUGCUAGUUUCACAAUUUCAUUUCUCGAUGCUAACCAAAUCUCUAGUUAGAAUGUCACCAAGUUCACUAUUGUUAUAGUCCAUGCAUUAUUAGGGUUCUAUGUCCACAUUCUAAUGUUCAUAUGUUCUCACAAUUGAUAAGAAUUCAGAUAUUCAAUGAUCACUUGUACGAUGCCAAUACCCUAUAAUGCAUGACUACAAAUAUAAAUAUGCUCAAUGAACAAUAUAGACAUAAAGAGUGAUUCAAAGAUUUCGGAUAGCACCACCCACCUGUAGUGGUGUCAACAACUAGAAUCCACGUCUCGAAAUGCGUCGACAACUAGCUCUCGCGACUCAGUGUAAAUAGAACUAGAACGGUCUCUACCGUAAUUAGCGCGUCGCCGACCUGUCGGAAAGUCAAUUUAAACUUUCGAGCAUGUUUAACUUUCAUUCAAACAAGUAUAAAAGAAAUCAAACUUGAGUCAUUUCUCAUAUUUUACAAAUUAGCCUUUCAACUCCAAGUAUCCAUGUAUAUGUAUAUACUAUUGUCACGCCCCCGACCGCACUACCCGAAAACGGUACCAAUUUAGCCCCUUUCGAGGGCGGCGGCGUGAUGCCGAACGGACAGAGUCUCCCUGUCCGUCCAAGGCUAACCAACCAGAUUGUGUACAACAAGUCCCCAGGAAUACAACUUGAAUUCAUACACAAUCAAACAACGAUAAUCGAGAGCACAAACAGUGCUAUAAAGACCAACAAGAGCAAGCGAUAUAAGUAAACAGUAUACAAGUAUUCAAAAGAGAGAAACUUAACUAUUAGAGACAUACUUGAAACAUUCAACCUCUUGAUAUCAAUUAACUUUAAUCAUUUGAUACAACUUGCAUUCAUUUUUUCCAAAAUGUAAAUACAUCAAAUCCUCUCCAAAACCUCACCCUAUACAUCAUCUACUCUCAGAAGGUAAAAGCAGGGUGAACUAAUGCAAGUAGGAAGUAAGCUAUCAACCAAUACGCUAGGGCGCUAAGCCCUUGCCGCGAUCCUCCCGCUCGGUCGGGACACUCGAACUAGCACCUGCAACAAGGGUGUGAGAACUACGAAUAGUUCUCAGUGGGUUCAGCCGCCGACUCCGCCGAUCUACCCACUAGGUCUUAAGCAGGCAUAUAUAUAUAUAUAUAUAUAUAUAUAUAUAUAUAAAGCUAAACUGAACUGAAGCAGGUAUGUGAAACAGGUAUAUCAAGCUAUGCCUCAAUCUGAUAUUAUGGAUGCAUGAACAAUAAAUAAAGCUGGGUAAGUAAGCAACUAUGAAGCUAACUACCAUGAACAACAAUAAUGAGUAUGACUCAAUAGGUAACCAAAUCUCAAGGUGAACUCGUGGUUCACAAGCAUAACUCACGUGUAAAUCUCAUAGGGAAAGUCGCACUGAACUACUCCUUGAGACCGCCUGCGGACAGCACACUGACCGUCCAGACAGCACACUGACUGUCUCUCGAGUGACCAACCUCCGGAGUGCACAGCUUGUAGGGAGCGACCCCUCCAAGCGCAGACAGGCUAUGUGAGCAUGAUCAACUCACGAAUAGCAGCAACCUACCCUCUAAGGGUAAUCUCAUCAUGGAAGCAAGGUUUACUUGUACCCAAUUUCAUAGUGUCUCAACUACACUAAUGUUCUCAUAUCAAGGUCAUCAACAAUCAAAUGCCACUCAUCAUAGUUUUCUAACUAGAUGCCACUCGUCAUUUAGACUCAUCAUCAACACUAGUCACAUCAUACUAGUUCUUUAGCAACAUAAGCAUUAAUCAUCUCAUAUAGGAUCUAGAUUCUCAACAUAUAGUUUUCAUGCAUACUAGAUCAUGGAUCAACCAACAAGAUAUAUGGCUACUAGCAUGCAAAUAUAAGCAACAACAAUUAUCUUCUAACCCUAUAUGUAUAUGCACAAGAUGCAAUUUGAUCAAUAUUAGACUUAGACAUAGAAGGUAGCCCGAUUGCUUCGGGAUGGUCACCACCCACCUCGUGGUAGUACUGUAGAGCUAAGAAAUGUGUUCUUUCGCGAUCUUUUUUGUCGCUUCAAAUCCUCGGGCCAACCCAAACCCUAGAGCACUCAAAACGGCGAUAUCUUCGCGCUCACUCGUCGGAUCGACGAACCGUCUUCGCCUACGCGUUUAAGAGCAUAGCAAUUAGGUUUUUGACCCAUCAAAAUAGAUCAAUCCCUCAUAUCUUCAAAAAUUCCAAAAUCAAGCCCUAGGUUUGGCACCCAUAGGAAGCAAUGGUUUCUAGCUUCAUUGUGAGCUAAAUCCAUAUUCUCUAAGUUCAUUAGGUUCUAUUUGAACCAUCAAAACCAACCAAAAACCCUCAAACCCUAGAAAUUCAAUGUUAGGGUUAAGGCUUACCUCUAGGGUUUGCUCCAAAGCACGCCCUAGCUUGAGGAAGAGAGGGAGAAGAGCUUCCUUUUCUUCUCCUUGACCUUCUCUUUCCUUUCUCCUUCUUCUUCUCUUUCUUUCUCUCCUUCUUUCUUCUUCUCCUUCUUCUUGCGGUUAGAGAGAGAGGGGGAGCUUUGAGAGGGAGAGAGAGAGAGGUUAAGUGAGUGAAAGGGAGCAGCUGAGAGAGGGGGUUUAAGUCCUCUAUGGUAACAAAACCCAAAGAGCCCCUCCAUUUUUUCUAUUUUCCCAAAACAGCCCCUACUGUUCGGGCUCCUUGUACCGGUACACGGGUUCUUGCACCGGUACAAGGUCUGGGUGACAGCUGAACCCGAGCGCACCCGAGCCGAGGAGCCGAACCCGAGCGCACCCGAGCCGAGGAGCGCAACCCGAGCGUACCCGAGCGCUCAGUUCCCUCGGUUUCGAUGGGUUUGUACCGGUACAACAGCUCCAGAAUGCCGUUUUCACUCUGUUUCGGCUCCACUUCGCCCGAUCGAUGUCAAAACCAUUCCAACACCUUUGGAACUCAUUUUUGCUCUUCCAAACUUGUUGUAAUGCCGAAUGGAACUUGUCCAAACCGUUCAAUCGCCCACUUUGGCCCAUUUGGCCAAAGUUAGCAAAUAUCAUCGAAUUUCGAUAUCUCACAACUAUCCACAUAUAUAUAUAUUUACAUAGUCUCAAUGCUUUUCAUGCAGCUACUAAUACUAUUUUAUUCAAAAUCAAAGCCAGGUUACUUCAGAUUUUAUUUACAAUAGUCUACACAUAGACCUAUUUACUCGCAUGUUUAUAUCUUGCAUAGCUUCGACUAUUAAUUUCAGCUUCAUAUACUACUUAAAAUUUCAGCAUGUUAAAGUCUCAGAAGUUAAACAACUCAUAAUUAAUCCCUCAUUCUAAGCAGGGAUUAGCAUCAAUUUCAUUUAGAAAUUAGAGCAAAUCAAAUUCAACUUUGCUCUAAUCAUUUCUAAUCUGAAAUUUACUAGAUCUAUUACUCCGUAGCUAGUUCCAACUCCAAUAGUUAAUAGAGUUCAAUGCUGAAAUUCAGUUUCUUGAAUUUCUGCAUAUGCUUCUCAACUCGGGAGUAUUACUCAUCCCUACCCAAUUCAGGUAUGGUACUAGGUACUAUGUAUAUCUGGAUUAGAAGUUUUCUAAGUUGCUCACAGCUCACUAGAGCUCCUUUUCAGCUAAAUUUUCAAUUCGGCAGCUCUAACAAGCCUUUAAUUCAGCUCAACAUUAAAUUUUGCACUAAUGCUGAAAUUUCAGCAUACACACACCUUAAUUAAACCAUUUAGAGGCUUUUUUUAUGCAUAUUCUAUGAUCCUAGAUGAGAAGUUAGCCAUUUACCUUAGUUUCAAAAUUCCUUAUGCUGAUUUCCAAGUCAGCACCUUUGCUGAUUUCUAAUUCAGCAACUUCAAUCAACCUGAAAUCCAGGUCUGCCCAUUUCAGCAGCAAGAAAGCCUUCUAGAAGUCAUCUCUAAGGUAAGUAAUUCAACUUAAUUCAGCUAUAGAAUUAGCUUACCCUAAUUUGAGACUCCUCUAAAUUUCUUUCAGCAUUAACUAACCCAAAGCCCCAAGUCUCAAGUCUGAAAUUCAGCAAUAAGAAAUCCUUUAGAGGCUUCUUUAAAGCACUUACUAUGAUCUCAGCUGAAAAGCAAUUUGCUUGCCCCAAUUCCAAGCUCUCUCCACUGAACUCCCUGCUCUAUAGCAUCCAUUAAGCCCAAGCUCUUAGCUGCCAGUUGCAAGAAACUCAUAUAAAUGUUCUCUCAAAAGUAACUAACCUAUCUAAGAAUAAACACUAACCAAUUUACCUUAGUUAGAUACUGUACCAGUUGUUCAGCAGCAGGAAUUCCCUGCUAGGAAGUUCCUCUUAGCUCGGACCAGCAAGGAAAUCACUCAACGCAUCAGUCUCAUCAACCCUUCUUCAGUUCGGAUCAACUCCUCCACCUGAACCGCAAUCCUCAAGGCUGCCAACCCCAAUUUCCUCAAGCUUUCCUUAGCCUAGAGAGAGAGUAGAAGAAGAGAGAUGAAGGGAGGAAAGAGAGAAGUUUUCAUACGUGUCUCCAUACUCCAGCCAGCUGGGGUUAAGUGAUAAGGAUGAGAAAUUGCAGUUUAACCCCUGAAAAUUGCAAAAGUGCAUUGCAAUCUUCAGAUUUACAUUUCAGUCCCUGAAGCUUACAAUUCAGUCCCUGCACUAAACAACUAGCUGCAGCAGCACUUUGAAGCUUAUUUUGCCCAUCCAACUCACUUCAAGUCCACUCAAGCACUUCCAAAUUACACUAAUAUACCUCUACAAGUUGUCAAAUUAAUUUGGAAGCAAUUAAUUUCCAAUUUGGCAUCAUGUUGAUCAUUUUGAUCAACAUUAACUAGAAAUUUCAGCAUUACUUGAUAGCAGCAGUGAUUGGAGGUUUCUGUCACUUCCAAUUCACUUCGAGCACUUCCAAAGCAUGCCAAAUGAACUCCCAAGCUACCAAAUUAAUUUGAUAACAUUUAAUUCUCAAAUUUGCAUUAACUUGAUCAUUUUUGACCAAGUUAACUAAAAUUUCAGCAUAAGAGUAGCAAUGGCAAUUGGAGGUCUUUGGCACAUCCAAUUCAUUUCGAGUCCACUCACACACUUCCAAAACAUGUCAAUUGCUGUUCUCAAGCUACUAAUUAAGUUUAGAAACACUUAAUUUCCAUUUUAGCAUUAUUGUGAUCACUUUGAUCACAAUUAGCUUGUAAUCCAAUUUCAGCCUAUUACAUAUAUAGAGUUCGGCUAUUACAUUAUCAAUAGUAGCAAGCCCUUGAUACUAUUUAGUUCUCUCUUUAUUUCACUUGUGUAUCUUGUUGAUUACUUGCUCUUCGUUGUUGGCACUAUUUGUGCCCCGUUGAUCGUGUAUGUAUGAAUUUAAUUUUUCUGGAUAAAUUCUUAUACAUGAUCAGAUUGUGAGCCUUGGGCGGGCAGGGGAGUUGCUGCCCGUUCGGCGUCCGUUCGCCGCGCCCGAACCGUACCAAAUUGGUAGGGGUUUGGGGCGGGGGCGUGACAACUGUGGUAUCAGAGCAAUAAGAGCAAGUAAAGAAAGAAAGUCUAGGAUGACCUAGGAGAUCCUAGGUUGGUAAACCCUAAGGCUAUAGGUGCGUGAGUGGAACGUGAACCUAUAACGGUGGUGGGAUUAGUUCGAUUGGGUCAAAGUUGUUGACAUAUCUCUAGUAGUUACUAGAGAUGGGUUCAAGUGGUAUUAGUUCUUGACUUGAGGUGGUUAUGCCGGCGGCCGACGACAUGACGGCAAGAGUCUAGAAUGAAGACACUUGUGUGCUUUCGCCCGAUUUUUGUUGUUGGGUCGUUAUGUGUCGUAAUUGCGACGAAGCGAACGGAUUAAGAUAAUUAACCAAGUAAUUGCGUUUCGGGAGCAAAUGGCACCAAGGGGACGCCCGAGUACGAGAUCUACUCCGGCACCGCCUCCUGAGAUGCCCGAGCAAGCUGAACCGAGUGUGAUGGAUCGGUUGCAGGCACAAGUGACCGCAUUGACCAAUGUGGUGCAGCGCCAGGAAACCCGAUUCGAGCCGCUCUAGGAGCUCUUGGAACGGCAGGUUGCGGCAGCGGCUGCAACGGUGACUGAAGGCGGUGGCCCGCCCGCACCCUCGACUCGUAUACCCGAAGCGACAGAGGGUGAGGGUAUAGCGGUGGUCCCGGUGACGGCACGUCCACCGCCGGCAAUUAUUCCUCAGGCGGCGUCGGGAUCGGCGACACCCGAUGUGACGGACGAAGACGUGGAAGGAGAGCGCGCGUUGGUGGCUCUUAUCAAGUUCAAGAAGUUCAACCCGCCCAUCUUCGAGGGGGAGAAGGUGGAGCCGGCGAUGGUCGAGUCUUGGAUCGACUCGAUUUGCGUACUUUGGAGAGAGAUAGUGUGUAUCUCGCCACCCACUGCUUGGAGAAAGCGGCGAAGGUCUGGUGGAAGCACGUCAAACGUGAUCGACUUCCCGGCCUUCCGCCGAUGCUGUGGGAGGAGUUCAAGAGGGCGAUGUUCGCCAAUUAUUUCCCCGACAGAUUGAAGCGGAAGCUCCAGGAGAAGUUCCGCAAGAUGGAGCAAGGAGACCGCUCAGUAGCGGAGUAUGAUACGAGAUGAUCGAGAUAGGGCCGACUGGUUCUUACGAGAACUUCGGCCGGCGAUCUACAAGGCCGUGCAGAUACUUAAACUCACGACCUUCGCGGAGGUCUUCGACCGAGCACUCUGGGCGGAGCACGGUGACACCCAUGUUCUGGAGAAGCACUAUAUGUUGGCCGAGUCCAAGGACAAAGGCAAGAAGCAUCAAGGCGGCGGUUUAGGGGGACAAGCACGUUCCAAGAAGCUCCCGAAGUAUCCGCGGACUCAGCCAAAGGGCAGUGGAGUGCGACGGUGCGUCAUAUGUGGUGGAAACCACCCGGUGUCGCGUUGUGAGCAGCGCCAAGGCAAGUGCUACAAGUGCGGGCAACUGGGGCACUUUAUACGGAAUUGCCCGGGAGGAGGAGCCUCACCUGCCCCAUCCACUGCAUCGGCGCCGGCGAUUCCGGCCCACUAUAGAAGAGUUCCACCGACGGCCGUGUCGGCGGGACGUGCGAUGAUGUUGCGCCAGCCCGAGAUAGCGCGAUCGGCCCCGAGCGGACGUGUAUUUGCCGCUCAGGUUCAAGCCAAGGAGCCCGCGGUGGCGGAGGAGCAUCGCCUUGUGGCAGGUAUGGUUUUGAUUAACGGAGUUCGCUCCAGGGCUAUGUUUGAUACUGGUGCCACACAUUCGUUCAUCAGUAGAUCAUUCGCACACAUGCAUGACAUACUCAUAGAGGCAAGUGACAAGUGGCGAGUUGAGGGCCCUGGGUCGACAUUUAAUACCUACACGGAAUGCUCAUCGUGUCUAGUACAAGUAGGCGACUGGAUAAUGCCCAUUAGGAUACUAGAGCUCAAGAAUCUUAAAGAGUUCGAUGUCAUACUGGGCAUAGACUCGCUCUCGAAGUAUCACGCAACGAUCGACUGCAAGAGCAGAGUGAUUACAUUUCGUGAGCUAGGACAGAAGGAGUUCACUUAUCGGGCUUGUCAGAGCUUGUGCUUCGCCGCGACGGUGUCGGCGACGAGAGCAAGAAAGUUGGUCAACAGCGGUUGCGUAGCGUUCUUGGCAACUGUUGUAGAAGUGGAUCGAGUAACUCCGACUCUGGAGGUGUUAUCAGUGGUGCGGGAGUUCCUGGAUGUGUUUCCCGCGGAGUUACCGGGGAUACCGCCGGAUCGGAAGAUCUAGUUCGUCAUAGACUUGAUUCCCGGCACUGCGUCGAUCUCGAACGCUCCAUACCGAAUGGCGCCGGCAGAACUGAAAGAGUUCAGGAGUCAGUUACAGGACCUUCUCGACAAGCAAUUCAUCCGACCAAGUGUAUCACCGUGGGGAGCCCCGGUGUUAUUUGCGCGGAAGAAGGACGGAUCGUUACGACUCUGCGUAGAUUAUCGAGAGUUGAACAAAGUCAUGAUCAAGAAUAAGUACCCACUCCCCCGAAUCGAUGAUUUGUUCGACCAGUUGCAGGGGUCGUGUGUACUCGAAAAUAGAUUUGCAGUCCGACUAUCACCAGUUAAAGAUCAAGCCGGUGGAUGUGCAGAAAACUGCGUUCUAUACGCGAUACGGGCACUAUGAAUUCACGGUCAUGCCAUUUGGACUCACGAAAGCUCUAGCGGCGUUCAUGGACUUGAUGAACUAUGUCUUCAGAGAGUUCCUGGACCGAUUUGUCGUGGUCUUCAUAGACGACAUAUUGGUCUAUUCUCGCAGUGACGAGGAACAUGCCGAGCAUUUGAGGAUUGUGCUUCAAGUCCUUCAGGAGGAGAAGUUAUAUGCUAAGUUAACGAAGUGUGACUUCUGGCUCCAAGAGGUCGCAUUUCUAGGGCAUGUGAUUUCUGCUGGUGGAGUUUCAGUAGACCCGAGGAAAGUUGAGGCAAUCAAGGAUUGGCUACGCCCAACGAACGUCACGGAAGUUAGAAUCUUCGUGGGUUUGGCUGGCUACUAUAGGCGGUUAGUGGAAGGCUUUUCAAAGAUAGUAAUUUCACUAACCCGUCUGACUCAGAAAGGCACUAAAUUCGUUUGGAGCGAGGAGUGCGACCGGAGUUUUAAAGAGUUAAAGGAAAGGCUAACUUCGACUCCAGUACUCGCUUUACCAGUGCAGGGCGAAGAUUUCGUGGUCUAUAGCGACACUUCCUAUCUAGGAUUGGGGUGUAUUUUGAUGCAGGGUGGAAAAGUAAUUGCUUAUGCGUCCCGUCAGCUGAAGAACUAUGAAAAGAACUAUCCCAUUCACGACUUGGAGCUAGCGGUGGUAAUCUUUGACUUGAAGCUGUGGAGGCACUACCUGUACGGUGCCCAUUGUGAGAUUUAUACCGACCACAAGAGCUUAAAAUAUCUGUUUACACAGAAAGAGCUCAACAUGUGACAGCGACGGUGGUUAGAACUGCUAAAGGAUUACGAUGUGGAUAUCCUUUACCACCCGGGAAAAGCGAAUGUGGUCGCGGAUGCACUGAGCAGAAAGUCCGCAAAAAACCUCGCUAUGUGGGUUACAAAUCAAACACCCCUAUGGCUGGACAUGGAGCGAAUGAACCUUGAGGUGGUUACUUCCGAGAUUCUGGCUCAGAUGAUGGCACUCGUUGUCCAACCGACCUUGUUGGAGAGGAUCAAGAAUCUGCAACCCGCGGACCCAGAACUCCAAAAGGUGCGGCGCGACACUGAGAAGGGUCAUGGCGGCGAUUUCACGAUAGACGCCGAUGGUGCACUUCGAUUCCGAAAUCGAUGGUGUGUGCUGAACAAUAAGGAGAUUCGAAGGUUAAUCUUGCAAGAGGCACAUUGGUCGCCUUAUUGUGAUCACCCGGGCGGCACCAAAAUAUAUCAAGGAUUGAAAACGCACUAUUGGUGGCCUGGAAUGAAGGGUGAUGUUGGAUGCUUCGUGGCGAAAUGUUUAGUGUGCCAACAAGUGAAGACGGAGCGUCAAUUUCGAGCGAGAAAACUACAAAGCCUACCAAUCCCUGUUUAGAAAUUGGAGGAUAUAUUGAUGGACUUCGUGGUAGGUUUGCCUCGCUCAAUUGACGGCCAUGAUGCAAUUUGGGUAAUUGUGGACCGAUUGACGAAGUCGGCUCACUUUUUGCCGAUCCACAUCACGUGGGCAGGUGACAAGUUGGCACAGGUAUACCUUGACGAGAUAGUUAGGUUACACGUGGUGCCGAAAUCGGUCGUGUCAGAUCGCGACCCCUGGUUUGCCUCACACUUCUGGAAGAGCCUGCAGGAAGCCCUUGUCACACGGCUCAAUUUAGUACAACAUUCCAUCCUCAGACAGAUGGGCAAAUAAAAAGGACCAUUCAAACUCUGGAGGAUAUGCUGCGGGCGUGUAUCAUCGACUAUAAGGGGAGUUGGUGUGAUCAUUUGCCGAUGGCCGAGUUCGCCUACAAUAACAGUUAUCAUGUAAGUAUAGAGAUGGCACCGUUUGAGGCCCUCUACGGGCAAAAGUGUCGGUCUCCUAUACACUGGAGCGAUGUGGGUGAGCGUGCAGAGUUCGGCCCAGACGUGUUGCGAGAAGCGGAGGAGAAAGUCCGCCUUGCUCGUAAGCGAUUGCUCAUGGCGCAGUCGAGACAGAAAAGCUAUGCUGAUAGGCGCCGUUGAGACAUAGAAUUUGCGGUGGGUGACUGUGUAUUCUUAAAAGUUUCGCCAAUGCGGGGUGUGAAGCGGUUUGGAGUGCGGAGAAAGUUAAGUUCCCGGUACAUUGGACCAUAUGAGAUAUUGGAGCGAGUUAGCACGGUGGCCUAUCGACUUGCCUUGCCGCCGAAGCUCGCGGAUGUAUACAAUGUGUUCCAUGUCUCCAACCUUUGCAAGUACAUUUAUGACCCCGAGCACGCGAUGCUAUAUGAGCCGCCAGAGCUCCAAGAAGACUUGAGCUACGAGGAGUUUCCGGUGAUGGUUAUCGCCCGAGAAGUGCGAAAGCUGCAAAAUCGCGAGAUUCCCUACGUGAAAAUCCGGUGGAACAAUUAUGAUGAUCGCGAGGCCACCUGGGAACUCGAGGAUCUGAUGAGAAAGCAUUAUCUUCACUUGUUUGAGGAAUAAGGUAUAGAAACUGAGUUUAAAUUAAGUUGAAUGAGUUUCGAGGACGAAACUCCUUUUAAGAAGGGGAGGAUGUAAGGAAGUGAAUUCUCGAAAUUCGAGAGUUGGACUUCAUCCAAGAUCGACUAAUUGUCGAGUGGGUAGGCUUCGGAGGAGCUAAAGAUAUCCAAAACACAAAAAGUGCUUUGGAGUCGAGUCCGCGGGAGCAAAUGAUGCAAAAUCUGCACUUGGCAGAUUCUGCCCUUGGGGACCGGUCCCUGGCGGCGGGGACCGGUUCCCGUAAGCAGGAAUUAUGGCAGAGGGGAGGUCUGCACAAAACUGCUGUCGGGGUCCGGUCCCUGGUAGGAGGGAUCGGUUCUCGUAGCUGAGGGUUGCGGCAGGCGCCCGAUGCAACCUGUCUCUCGAGUAAGGACCGGUUCCCGUACGCGUGUUACGGGGAAUUGCUCUCGGGACCGGUCCUCCCGUUGAGGGACUGGUCCCUCCGCGUGAAAAUUGCCCAGGCAGGGCAGGUUUAGAGAAGUAAAGUAGAGGGGCUUUUAUGCAAAAUGCCAUAAGUUGAGGGGUAUAGAGGGGCUGAGCCUUCUCAUCUCUCUCAUUCUCACCCUCACUCUCACAUUCUCUUUCUCUCACUAAACUCUUUCUCUCUCUCCCUCUCUUGAGCAAGGUAGAAGGAGAAGAAGAAGAGGAAGAAGAAAAAGAAAAGAAAGGUGGAGAAGAAGAAGCAGAUAUGGGAGAAGGCCUUUGUAACAUACCGAAACUUCAGUAGAAAAUAUUGGACUUUAGUCAAAUUGACUAAAGCGUGCGAAUGAAAUGGUUGGACGAGUUCUAUUUAACAUUCCAACAAGGUUGGAAGGAUUAAAAGUGAGCUUAAAAAGAAUUGGAAAGGUUUUAGCGUUAUUCGGCGCGAAAUAGAAUCGAAACGGAGCCAAAAACCAAGUCUGGGCAAAGUGUACCGGUACAACCAUCGAGUUGUAAUCGGUACAGCAAUGUGUACCGGUACAGCAUUGAAAGUGUACCGGUACAAAUGCUACGAAACCAAGAAGCAGCUCUCGGAUUUUGUCUCUGCGCAGUCGUGUUACCGGUGACACGAGGAAGUGUACCGGUACACUUUGGGCUUGUGACAUAUCAGAUUUUGAUAUAAAAGUAAAAAAUAAAUAAAAAUAGUGUGAGAUACUAUUUUUAUUAGAUUUAGUGGAGUAAAAUAUAAGUCAGAAAUGACUCGUGCCGAAAUCGGAACGAAAACAGAAGAUUUAGAAUUUUUUAUGAGAGAUGGGACUGAUAUUUUAGCAGAAAAUGCACAGUGUCAGAAAAUUAUGAAAACUGGAGAAUAUGUCAGAAUUAUUUUUAUGAGGCUAGAUUUAAAGUUUCAUGCCAUUCUGACACCCGGAAGGUGGAAAUAAAAUCCGACUGCAUUUUGCUAGAGAUUACAGUUCGGUAGAGCUUUUGGUAACUAAACGUGGUCGAAACUGAAAACUUAAGAUAUAUUCUUUCUUAAUAAGAAAAAUCGAGCCUGACUGUCAAAUUUGAGCGCAAACGGACGUUCAGAAGGUCUCCAAUGUGUACGAACUGCUAAACUGAGCAGCUAAACUGAAAAUAAGCUAUAGUUGGGGGAGGGGGAGGGGGAGGGGUAGGGGGGGGGGGGGGGGCUAUUUGUGUAACAAAUGCCAUCUCCCCCGUUUGUGCGGUUCAACCCGAGAGAGAGAGACAGGAGAGUCUUUAUCUCUUUCUCUCUUUUCUUCUAGCUCACCACCCUCUCUCCUUCUCUUGUAAUCUCUCCACCAAAGAGGAAUUGGAGAGAAAAUUGGAGAAGAAGCUUGAUGGAGAAGAUGGCUUGGAGUUGAGCUACUACUUCUUCUUCAUUGGCCCAAGUAAGGUAAGUUUCAAACCCUUUAAUGGUGAAACCUUAGAAUUCAGUUUAAUUGCCCUAAGAAUGAUUUUAGAUGAAUCUCUAGAUGAAAUCAUGCUUGUUAACGCUUGAUUUAAAUGGGUUUAGAGUAUAUGUUGUUAUAGUGCACUAUUAGGGCUCCAAAUUGAGGCUUUUGUCAUAGAGGGGUUUGAAUAUAAAUUAACCUUGUAGAAACCAAAUUGGUAGGUUUUCUGACGCGUUGGCGAAGUCGGUUCGGCUAUUCGUCCAGCCGGUGCGAAGAUAUUAAAGAAACGAACGUUUCAGCUUCGUUUCCGCCUUGAGGGCCGAGGCGACGUCCUAAAGUCAUUAAAACGGAAUCGUGGGCUCGUGGCAACUAACCAUAGGCCUUUAAUUUUCGGAUCGUGGAUUGGAGGCCGUCCGGGUGGUCGCGCGAGAGUUCGGGCCAAACCGGGUCACGGGUGCCGCGAGAGGCCGAUUGCAAGUGACUACGAGCAAUCGGAGUGCGAAUUAAGGUGGGUUGUGUUUACCGAUGCGACUAGAUCGCCGUUAUGUCAAGAGUAAUGUGGUUUCAUAUUGAUGCAUGUAAAUGCUAAGUGGAUGCAUGUAGUAAAUGCUAAAGAGAAUGCAUGCUAAUGACAUAAAGUAGAAAUACAAAAGAGAAUGCAUAAAUGACAUGGUAUAGAAAUGCUAAAUAAAUGCAUUGAUUAAUGCUAGUUGAAUGCAUGUUGCAUGUUAUAAGAAUGCCAAGUAAAUACAUGAUAAGCAUGUGGUUAAUGCUAAGAAAAUAAAUGAUGACAUGACGAGAAUGCUAAGUAAAGGUAAGUUGACAUAUAUAGAACUAUGUUAAAUGACAUGUGCAUGUGGACAUAUAUAUAUAUAGAUCGAGUGGUAUUGAACCUAGUGUCAAGAACAUAGGUUGAGUAAGAGUAAUAUUGAACCUAGUGUUAAUAAACAUAGGUUGAACAAGUGUGGCAUCGAACCUAGUGUUAAUAAACAUAGGUUGAACAAGUGUGGCAUCGAACCUAGUGUUAAUAAACAUAGGUCGUACAAGAGUGGCAUCAAACCUAAUGUUAGAGAAUAUAGGUUGAGAGUAAACUUAGAGUUAAGUCAACCUAGGUUGUGAGAUAAAGAUAGCGAACCUAGAGUUAAAGUAACUUAGGUUAUGUGAUAAAAGUGUUAAACCUAGAGUCAAGUGGACCUAUGAUGGAAAGGACAUUGGGUCUAGAUAGGUCGAUACUAUAGGGUUAAGACCAACCCUUGAGUUAUGUGAAAUGGAUUCCGAAAUCCCAGAGCUUAUGGAACACCCAAAGUGGUGUUGGGCGUGUGCGACGAUUUCACCGUCCGGGCUAUACCAUCGACGUGGCGUGUGCGACGAUUUUGCCGCCGGAUGGGUGAGACGAAUUGUGGUUUAUACCGGCCGAGCCAGAUUGUGGAUCAUACCGCUGGUUGACUCGAACCGUCGACGUGGCGUGUGCGACGAUUUCGCCACCGGGUGGCUAGGUCAUAGAGCGCGGUGAGCUGUGGUUGGCUGAGGUGCAUGUGAGAGUUCCUUCACCUCGAGCCGGCAGAGUGCUGAUUAUCCGCAGUUGAUUGACUCAAGACCGAGUCGGGUGGCAUAGAGGACUAAGGUACGAGUAACCUUAGAAUAGAAUGGCCGAUAAGUAAGUUGUAAGAAUAAAGAAUAGCUAAAGAAUAAAGAAUAUCUAAGAAUAAGGAAAGAGUUGCAAGUAGUAAAGAAUGGCUAGCAAUAAAGAAUGAAAACGAUAGAAAGUAAAAUCAUUUAUUCUACUUGCAUAGUUGCAUAGUUUCAUAUUGCAUAUCGUGAGGCAUGACAUGUAGUUCAAUAUCGAGUAAAUGUAUAAAUAUCUGUUAUAUGUUAUUGGACUAACCUGUAGCAGUGUCUCAUUAGACCUAUUGGUUGAGCUUUUUCCUUGGGUGGCCGUACCCACUAGGAACCAUGGAGUUGGUUCUCACCCCACGUUGUUUUGGGGUAUUUCAGGUUCGCACGUGAGCGGCGCGCAGUUUCGCGGACGAAACUCCUUUUUAGGAGGGGUGAAUGUAACGUACUAGACUUUUGCAAAUUGCGAGGUUCGAGUGAUUGGUUGUGCUCUGAGUUUUUUCAGACUUUCUGGUGGGUCGUUCACAGUGUUCCGACCUAUGGCUCGUAUCCCGAGGAUUGAGGUUUGAAGCCUAGCACCAAAACCCGAAAAAGAUCGGAUUUUUGGUUAGCUCUCGGGUAGCCUUCAGAGGGCUGUAUACCGGUACGGGGUGAUGGCUGUACCGGUACAGCCAUCAACAUUGGUUGCUUCUCAGCCAAUCCGAGGCUCGGGUUUGGCUAUUUCGUGGGAUGUGUACCGGUACGUGAGCCCGUGUACUGGUACGCAGUGGCAGUUUUCAGCAGUUUGAACUGCAGGGGUGUUUUUGCUAUUGUAGCAUCUCUAUAAUACCACCCACACCCCUUUGCUGGUCUCCUGAGCUGGGAAACAUAGGAGGACAAGGUGGGGAGCCCUUCUCUUCUCCUCUUUUGAUUUUCUUCCCUUUUUGCUUGGAUUUUGAAGGUUUAAUCUCUCUCCUUUUCCCUCUUGGUGCACUUCCACCUUAGGAGAAGCUUAGGAGCUUGGAGUUAAGCUUGUUGGAGGUGAAUCUUCGACCCUUGUGAAUUUUGAACCUUGUUUGAGGCUUCAUGAGAGAUUAGUUCCAUGCUAUUUCCCUUUUUAUCAUGAUUUUCAUGAUUUUUGUAAACAAACCCUAGAAAUGAGGAUUUAGGAUUUGUUUUGGGGAUUUUUGAUCUAGGACUUUUGGAGCUCAAUCGAUUGGUUUAGAACCUUCCUCUAGGUUGGUUUUGCAGGGAUCUAGCUCCCAUUUGGAGCUUGAGAGGGGUUUUCUACACUUAGGUGAGAUUUUGCCCUUAUCUUGAGUUUGUUAAUGUUUGAGUUUUGGGUUGUUCGUUUCGUUUGGAUAACCCUCUUUUUGAUGCUUCUAGGGUACUAGGAGGCUUGUGGGCACCUCCGUUCGGCGAAACGAAGGUUUCGAUUUUGGUGGGUUUGGCCUCACCUAGAUGAGAUAAACUUCUCAUAUGAGGGUUUUUAUUUAUCGUAAAGUGAAAAUGCAUACAUAUUCUUACUAGAUAGAAUAUUUGAGAAUUUUAGAAUGCUUAAAAUGUUCAUGUUAUAUACAAUGCAUAUUUGACCUCUAUAUAGUAGAGAGUUUUCAUGUUGGGCUAGGGGCCUAUGGUUAGCAUUCUUACAGUUGAUUGGGAUCAUAUUGCAUAUGGUGCAUAUGGCAUAUAGAUUACACUCUUGGACUUAGAACGCAUGCUUGACAUGGUUGGACUUAUCGACAUUAAGUGACAUAGGCUAGAGUGUAUACAAAUAGUAAGCUAAUGUCAUAAAGCGGCAUUAGGCUUGGACUAGAUAUGGACUUAGCAAGCUAAUGUCAUAAAGCGGCAUUAGACUUGAUGGAUAUGUAAAUUGCAUGUGCAUGUUAUUAUUAUGAGAAUUAUGCCAAGUUGAUAGUUGCAUUGGAAAGAACAUACAUGUAGCAAUACGAGAACACGCUAGAGAGCAUGUGUGUUAAUCUAUUAUUGAUAAAACAAGCUACCGUCAUAAAGAGACCUAAAAUGUGAAGUGUGCUUAGUUUAUAGCAAUGUUUAAGUGUCAUAAAGAGGUACUAAACAUAGUGAAUGUGGGAACUUCACCCUGAGAUUUGGACUUAGUAAAGCUAAGGUCAGUGACAUCGAAAUUAUUGAACGGUUAAACCUUCACAUUGAGACAUUGAACUAGAUCUUCGAGAUGCUAGUGACUUUUACCAUGUUAGAGACAUGAUGACUGUUGGGUGGCUAUUACCAUGUUAGAGACAUGACGAUUGGACUAUUGAGGUAUUGACCAUGCUUGCUUGCCAUUUGUGCUCAUUCGUACAUGCUUGUGAUGGUCGCUCCCUACAAGCCGGCACUCAGGAGUUAGCUUACGCGACUUAUGUUCACUCGUGCGGUAUUGAGAAGCUUACGGGGUCGAGUGGGACAGACACAUUUCAAGAGCAGGAAUGUUGGGCUACCACAGGCACUUAGGCGGCACAAGCCGGACUACACCUGUGUAGAUCCUGAUUUAGAUUGAACCAGAAUAUUAAACAACAAGUUGACAUUCGCUACUAGCUAGGUUAUAGUAGUUGGAAUCUUGAUAUGCUAUGGCAUAGAGUUGGGCAUUGAGUUAUAUAGUAUACUUGACGGUAUCGUUUAUUGCAUUGUAGUAUACUUGGUUGCCAUGAUGCUACAUACUAGAUAUGUAGUUGGCUUUGGGACAUUUAUCAUCCUUCAUAGUAUUACUUGUUGCAUCAUAGCAUACUUGUUUAAGUAUUGGCAUACUGGAUCAUGUAGAGUAGAUGUACUCCAUGUUGGCAUUCUAUGUACUUGUGGCAUAGUAGAGUAGCAUUUUAUUAUUAUGCUUUAUUUACCGCAGUUAAUUUAUGUUAUCCUUAUCUGCUCUCUUUUGGGCCUAGUGGUGCAGUUGGUGCAGGUCAGUAAUUGCCCACUAGGAACUAUAAAUUAUAGUUCUCAUGCCCCCUAUUUUAUAUUUUUUUUCAGAGCCUUCCACUUCUGGAGGGGCUCGGGAUCGCGGGAAAGGUUUCGCCUUGAGCUAGCUAGCGAGAGAUUUGGCGAUAGGUGGUCUACCUCUCUUUUGUUUUUCUUUGGAGAGGUUGUGAGAGUUUUGUACCUUAUUAUAGAGACCACCCUACUGUUGUACCUUGAGACUUAUGAUGUACUAGUUUUAUUAUGUUCUAGUGGUUUAGUCUUUUUUUCUUUCCUUUUAUUUCUGCUUGUCGAUAGAACUUAGCAGCAUACUUGCUCUGAUAUCAUUAGUUAUUGUUUAUUUUAUCUUUCAUAUCACUUUGUUGUAGACGCUUUAUAUGUGCAGGUAUAUGGCGGGACUGGGCACGCACCGGGCAGGGCCUAUGCCGGGUCCCGGGGCGUGACAGAUUAAUUUGGUAUCAGAGCCUAGGGUUGAGUCUUAGUGGACCUAGCGAACCUUAGGCUGGUUGGACUAUAGGAAAUAGGCUCGUGAGAGACGAUGUCUAAUUGAAUUGUUAGCGAAAGUAUUUCGAUUGGGUUUGAUGAUAACUCUAAAAAGUUAGAGUUCGAUCGAAGUGUAUGGCUUCUAACUUCGCGGAGGGUUACGUUGGCGGCCGACAACGUAACAUCGGGAGUUAGUAGUUGGGACACUUCCUUACUUUCGCAUGAUUUGGGAUAUUGGUAUUUGAGCGGGGUUGCGAUAGCGUUGGUUGUAUUAACUUGCGCUUUUAUGAUGUUGUAGUGACGAUGCCGACUACACGCUCUAAGUCUGUUAGAGCGGGCGAUGCGGCGACUUUUGAGGAAGCGAAGACAUCCGCUACCUCCGGGUCCGGUGAGGUCCGUGAGUUGAGGAGCCAACUUGCCACCUUCACUGAUUUGGUGACGCAGCAGGUGGCGGCGGCUCAGCAGCAGGCGGAUUCGGCACGCCGGUAGGAGGCACGAAUGCAGCGCCUGGAGGAUCUUCUAUUACAGCAGGCAGCUGCCAGGGAGGCUCAGGUCUCGGUACUACCCGCGCCAGUGGAGACAGUUGCGCCAGGGGGGUCGCCCUCUGUACUCGACACUUCGCAGACGACACUUACGGUAGCCCCUCGGGAGGAGGUAUUGGGAGCACCACCAGUUCAGGUGCCUGUGGCAGCGGCGACUUUUCCCUUGAUGGUUGAAAGACCGGAGCGGCANNNNNNNNNNNNNNNNNNNNNNNNNNNNNNNNNNNNNNNNNNNNNNNNNNNNNNNNNNNNNNNNNNNNNNNNNNNNNNNNNNNNNNNNNNNNNNNNNNNNCUAGGUAAAUGAUAUCGAAAAAUCGCAAAAAUUAUUUUCUAGAAACUUUAAAUACGCUAGAUCAAGUUUAACGGAGCCGAUCGUCGAUUCGAAAACUCCAUCUUCGAAAACGGCUCAGGAUUCCUGAGAGCACAGCAGCCCUGCUAUAUAUAUAUAUAUAUAUAUAUAUAUAGUGUAGAACUAUUAUGCUAUCGAAAAUUUAGAGGAUUUGAUGUUUUUGAAUUUUUGACCUUUUGAUUAAAAAUUAUAUGGUUGGGAUGAUUGCGGUCUCCCCUAGGAUUAAAUAAUACUCUUAAGAUUGAGUGGUCCCUACAAGAUAAUAAUAAUAUUAAUUCAAAGAUAAGAAACGAUUAAAGGUAUUGAUCUAAGAAUCAAAAAAUCGGAAGCAACAGAUCUCUAUACUUUCGAUAGUAUAAUAGCUCUACUAUAUAUAUAUAUAUAUAUAUAUAUAUAUAUAUAUAUAUAUAUAUAUAUAUAUAUAUAUAUAUAUAUAUAUUCUCCUUAUUAUAAUAUGGCUUUGGUAGUGGGAUAUGUACUCACAACUCUGUAUCAAAUCCACCACCUUUCACAUGCAAACAAAACAUCAGAUUCUCUCNGGCUAAACUACAAAUUAAACCAAGAUGGAGAUUGUUAUAUUUGGUUUAGAUUUGUAGUUAUCUAAAUUGGAGUUAAAUCCUAAUCUAUUUAGGAUUAGAUAUUAUUUAGAUUUAAUUUGGCAUAUAUGGAUUAUGAGUCGGAAUCUAAUUUCUAAUUGAAUUAGGAUUAGACUUUAUUUAGGAGACAUGUAUUAUAAAUACAUGCUACGGCCAAAUUAAUCUUGCCGCGACUCAAAAUUAAGCUAUGCUCUAAUUAAGCUAUAUAUUAAAGAGAGUUGACCGAGCCAUGCAGGUUGGUCUAUACGAGGAGCCGCAACCUUAAUUAAGAGGUGAUGCUUAAUUAAGUUAUCUAUUGAGUCGGAGCCAUCUCUUCUUUGAUGCUUGUGUCUGUACCACAACCCCGACGUGGUGCGCUUCGGUAAGAGGGUCGAGCCACUUAAGUUUUGUAUGGAUGCUAAUUGUGGCCUUUCGGAUCUAAUUAGAGUUCGGGUUCUUUGAGAGAUAUACUUUGUACUCCGCCUUUUCGACAUUAAUAAAGUAUUUGCUCCGUCUUCGCCCGUGGACAUAGGCCGUUGGCUGAACCACGUAAAUAUCGGUGUGUUCUUUCCUCUUUUCUUUUCGUUUUCUGCAUUAAAUUAUUUUCUGGAUCUAUUUUUUGCCGUUCCAAUUUCAACAAACUGGUAUCAGAGCCUUUCUAUUCCCUUUGAGGAUUAAGAUGACGACGAAGUUCGAGAUUCAGAAAUUUGACAGGACCAACAGUUUCGCAUUAUGGCAAGUCAAGUAGCGUGCAGUAUUGACGCAGUAAGAAUUGCAGAAGGCACUGUUGGAAAAAGAAAAGAUGCCCGAUUCAUUAAUGGCAGAGCAGAAGGAGGAGAUUGAUGAUAAAGCUCUUACGGCAAUACAAUUAUGUUUAUCCGAUGAGGUAUUGCGCGAGGUCUUGGAUGAAAAGACCACUGCAGGGCUUUGACUUAAAUUGGGGUCUCUCUAUAUGACGAAAUCUCUCACCAACAAGUUAUAUUUGAAGCAAUGUCUCUUCAUGUUGCGCAUGGUGGAAGGUACCUCUAUUAAGUCGCAUUUAGAUGAAUUUAAUUCUAUUAUUAUGGAUCUCCGCUCGAUAGAUGUUAAAAUCGAGGAGGAAGAUGAAACCCUUUUAUUAUUAUGUUCUCUACCGCCCUCUUAUAAGAACUUUCGUAAGACCUUCUUGUUUGGACGAGAUACUCUAUAUCUCGAUGAUAUUAAAUCCUCUUUACUUUCAAAAGAGAGAAUUGACAUGCAGAUAAGCAACGAGACAGGUGGAGCUUCAGGACAAGAUUUGGUCGCUAGAGGGAGGUCUCGGGAGAAGGGUUCUGGUAAUAGAGGUACAUCUAGAUCAAAGUCAAAGCACAGGAAUCUGAUUUGUGGUUAUUGUAAGAAGAAGGGUCACAUAAAAGCUGAUUGUUUCAAGUUGAAAAAUAAAGAGCAGCGGAAGAAUAACGGUGAUAAAAAUCAAAGUCAGAAAAACACCAAUACUGAAGCAAAAACAAGUGUUGCAGCAGGAGAAUCAGAUAAAAAUGAUAUCGUCUUUACAGUUACGGAUAAGACACGCAGACAGGAUGAGUGGUUUAUGGACUCCGCAUGUUCUUUUCAUAUCUGUACACAUAAAGAAUAGUUCUCGACGUACAAGCCUAUUGAAGGUGGAGAUGUAUUGAUAGGAAAUCACUCUAAGUGCACAGUUAUUGGAAUUGGUACUAUUCGGGUACGAAUGUUCGAUGGAGUAGUGAGGACUAUAUCUGAGGUUCGGCAUGUUCUGGAUAUGAGGAAAAAUCUGAUCUCAUUGGGGACACUUGAUACUAAAGGCUUUAAGUAUUCUUCAGCUGAUGGAUUAAUGAAGGUCGCUAAAGGGAAUCUUGUAGUGAUGAAGGCCAAGUUGUCCGACAUGUUAUAUGUUUUACAGGGUUCCACUAUGACAGGUUCAGCAGCGGUGACUUCUUCCUCUAUGUCAGAUUCGGAUAGCACCAGAUUUGACAGGUUCAGCAGCGGUGACUUCUUCCUCUAUGUCAGAUUCGGAUAGCACCAAAUUAUGGCAUAUGCGACUGGGCCAUAUGAGUGAAUAUGGUAUGAUGAAGUUGGGCGAGAGAGGUUUACUUGGUAGUCAGAGUUUAGAAAAGUUGGACUUCUGCGAGCAUUGUGUUCUUGGCAAACAAAAGAGAAUCAGCUUUAAGGCCACAUUUCACCUAACGAAAGGUACUCUGGACUACAUUCAUUCUAAUCUUUGGGGACCUUCUCGUACUCCUACUCAUGGUGGUACUAGAUAUAUGUUGACUUUUAUUGACGACUAUUCUCGUAAAGUGUGGGCGUUCUUUCUGAAAAGUAAGGAUGAGGUGUUCAAUUAUUUCAAGCAGUAGAAGGUCAUGAUUGAGAAGCAAACUGAAAAGAAGAUCAAACGAUUAAGGACCGACAAUGGUUUUUAAUUCUGCUCGUCAGAGUUUGAAGAAUUCUGCAAGAAGGAAAGGAUCGUUCGACAUAAGACCGUUAGGCAUACUCCACAGCAGAAUGGGGUUGCCGAACGGAUGAAUAGAACUCUUUUGGAGAGGGCUCGUUGUAUGCUCUCUAAUGCUGGCCUAGCUAAGAGUUUAUGGGCAGAGGCAAUCUUUACGGCAUGCUAUUUGGUGAAUCGAUCUCCACAUUCAGCACUUGAUUGCAAAACUCCGGAGGAGGUAUGGUCUGGCAGCCCUUCUGAUUAUUCUAAUUUGUGAAUAUUUGGUUGUCCUGCUUAUAUUCAUGUCAAUGAAUGCAAGUUAGAACCUAGGGCUAAAAAGUGCAUUUUAUUGGUUAUGCAUCGGGGGUUAAGGGAUAUAGAUUGUGGUGUCCUGAAUCGUCUAAAUUAAUUAUUAGUAGGGAUGUCAUAUUUGAUGAAUCUACUAUGUUAUAUCCUAACCGUAAUUCUUCUGAUGAGACCCCGAGUGCUAGCAAGCAGGUGGAGGUAGAGACCGAUGGUAUAGUUCAGUCGCAGGAUUCUUCUCAGUUAGAACAAGUUCAGUCGACAGACACUCAGUAACUGAAACCCCACAAGUUGAGAGGCAGAGCAUUGCUACAGGCAGAGCGAGGAGAUACAUCAAACUACCGCAGAGAUACGGUUAGGAAGAUAUGGUUGCUUACGCUCUUUCAGUGGCACAAGAUACAGAAGAAGAAGGUGAACCUUCCACAUAUAAUCAAGCUAUUUCCGGUGCCAAUUCUGCAGAGUGGUUGAUGGCGAUGAAUGAGGAGAUGGAGUCUCUCCAUAAGAAUUGCACAUGGGAGUUAGUAAAACCGCCUACAGACAAGAAAAUUAUCGGCUGUAAGUAGGUCUUCAAGAAAAAGGACGGAAUCCCCGGCGUGGAAGAUACAAGGUAUAAAGCUCGUUUAGUUGCUAAGGGCUACAGUCAGGUAGAAGGUGUGGACUUUAAUGAUAUUUUCUCACCCGUCGUAAAGCUUGUUUAGUUGCUAAGGGCUACAGUCAGGUAGAAGGUGUGGACUUUAAUGAUAUUUUCUCACCCGUCGUAAAGUAUACUUCUAUUCGUGUUCUUUUAUCGUUAGUAGUCAUGAAUGACCUGUAUCUUGAGCAGCUUGAUGUUAAGACAGCUUUUCUGCAUGGAGAACUUGAGGAGCAAAUUUAUAUGAAACAGCCGGAGGGAUUCAUUGUUGAAGGGAAGGAGGACCAUGUUUGCCUGUUAAAGAAAAUCGCUUUAUGGCUUAAAGCAGUCUCCUCGGCAAUGGUAUAAGCGGUUUGACUCCUUCAUGACAGGUCACGGAUACUCCAGAAACAAACAUGAUAGUUGCGUAUAUUUCAAAACACUUGAUAAAGGAUCUUUCAUAUAUUUGUUGCUCUAUAUCGAUGAUAUGUUAAUUGCUUCCAGCGACAUAGUUGAGAUAAAUAAAUUGAAGACUUUACUGAAAGGUGAGUUUGAGAUGAAAGAUCCAGGUGCUGCUAAGAAAAUUCUUAGUAUGAAAAUUAAGAGAGACAACAAGUCAGGACUACUGCAUUUGACACAGGAGAAAUAUAUAGAGAAGAUUUUAAAGCGUUCCGGGAUGACAGACGCAAAAUCGGUGAGCACUCCUUUUGCAGCGCAUUUCGGACUUUCCGCCGAGUUAUCACCGCAGUCCGAUGAUGAGCGGGAGUACAUGUCACAUGUUCCCUAUUCUAGUGCUGUCGGGAGCAUAAUGUACGCCAUGGUUUCCACACUGCCGGACAUCUCCUACGCAGUGAGCAUGGUUAGCAGAUAUAUGACCAAUCCUGGUAAGGCUCAUUGGCAAGUUGUUAAGUGGAUUCAGAGAUACUUACGAGGUACCACUAGCACUUGUUUGGAGUUUGGAGGUGUAAGGAUGGUGUGGUUGGAUAUAUUGAUUCGGAUUUUGCAGGUGAUUUGAAUAGGAGGAGAUCACUUUCAGGUUAUGUAUUCUCUAUUGGCGGAUGUGCAGUUAGUUGGAAAGUUUCACUACAACCUAUUGUCGCCUUGUCUACGACGGAAGCGGAAUAUAUUGCUAUGACAGAGGGUGUGAAGGAAGCUAUGUGGCUAAGAGGCUUAUUUGGAGAGCUUACUUCUUAUUGGGAUCCGACGAUUGUUUAUUCGGACAGUCAAAGUGCUAUUCAUUUGUCUAAAGAUCAAAUGUUUCAUGAGAGGACAAAGCACAUCGAUGUAAAGUUUCACUUUGUUCGGGAUGUGAUUGGGAAACGCACGUUGACAGUUAAGAAAAUUGGUACUGAGGACAAUCCGGCGGAUAUACUUACUAAGUCCCUUACUAUUGCCAAGUUCAAGCAUUGUUUGGACUUGGUGGCAGUUAGCAGCAUUUGAGGCCCUAUGGGGCGUUUGGAGAAGACGGAACACGGAGCGUUAAGGAGCAUUAAGGCAAAUUAAAUUCAAGGUGGAGUUUUGUGGCGAUUUCGACAUAGCGGCGGCUAAACUACAAAUUAAACCAAGAUGGAGAUUGUUAUAUUUGGUUUAGAUUUGUAGUUAUCUAAAUUGGAGUUAAAUCCUAAUCUAUUUAGAAUUAGAUAUUAUUUAGAUUUAAUUUGGCAUAUAUGGAUUAUGAGUCGGAAUCUAAUUUCUAAUUGAAUUAGGAUUAGACUUUAUUUAGGAGACAUGUAUUAUAAAUACAUGCUACGGCCAAAUUAAUCUUGCCGCGACUCAAAAUUAAGCUAUGCUCUAAUUAAGCUAUAUAUUGAAGAGAGUUGACCAAGCCAUGCAGGUUGGUCUAUACGAGGAGCCGCAACCUUAAUUAAGAGGUGAUACUUAAUUAAGUUAUCUAUUGAGUCGGAGCCCUCUCUUCUUUGAUGCUUGUGUCUGUACCACAACCCCGACGUGGUGCGCUUCGGAAAGAGGGUCUAGCCACUUAAGUUUUGUACGGAUGCUAAUUGCGGCCUUUCGGAUCUAAUUAGAGUUCGGGUUCUUUGAGAGAUAUACUUUGUACUCCGCCUUUUCGACAUUAAUAAAGUAUUUGCUCCGUCUUCGCCCGUGGACGUAAGCCGUUGGCCGAACCACGUAAAUAUCGAUGUGUUCUUUCCUCUUUACGUUCAUUUUCUGUAUUAAAUUAUUUUCUGGAUCUAUUUUUCGCCGUUCCGAUUUUAACAUAUAUAUAUAUAUAUAUAUAUAUAUAUAUAUUCGAGCUUUUCGAGCCUAAGUCGAACGAGCCGACUAAUACUCAAGCUCAGCUCAUUUAAUUUCGAGUCGAGCUCGAGCGAGCCAAAUAUCGAGUCGAACAUGAGUCGAAUGUAAGCCGGCUCGCUCAUUUGCCAGCCCUACAUGGCAUAGUUUCCUUACUAAAAACCAGUACUUUUUCUUUUCCAAGUAACCCAUAAUAAUCAAACUCAUUCGUAGUUCACAGGCAUGAAAUUGGAAGCAGGAAAAGUCCAAUUGCUGCUGGUUUGAGCUUGCUGACACUUCACUGCCAGCCAUUAAAUGUAGUUUCUUAACAAUCCCUCAGAAAGAAGGGCAUCUAAAUAAAAAUAAACUGGACAAACCAACUAGGAGAGGCAAAUAAAAAAAAAAAGGCAGAGGGGGGCUAAAUACAAAGGAUUUAACGAGAAAUGAUUGUGAGACAAAUGAUGAGUUCUUUGCAAUAAGUUGGAUUCAGCGAACCACGGAGAUUGCGCAUGAAUCCGUCAAACUUGUAAUUGCAACUUCUUAGCCGCAAGAGCCUCAGAUUCGAGAGAUGGCUCCCAAAGAAUGGUUGUUUCUGCGAGUAGAGAUGUCACUACAUAUGGGUCCAUGUUUGAAGCGGGUCGGCGAUCCUCCAAGUAGCCUACAAUUAAUAUUAAUAUUAAUAUUAAACAUUAAAAGGGCAGUAAAUUGAAAAGAGGUUAAGUAUUAGGUCAGCAAAUGCACAGUACUAAUUAGCAAUAAUCAAAUUUAAUGAAUACACAUGCCUUUUCCUUUUGCCUCGGUUUCACGUCCCACACGAAUAGAGCAGCCGCGAUUUGCUACCCCCUGUUUGUUAAUACAAAAUGAUUAUUGAAAUUCGGAAGUAGCAGUUAAGAACGAGAAAGUUUAGUGUUUCUUUUUAAGCGUACCCAGGAGAAAGUGUUUAUGCUGGCAGUCUCAUGCUUUCCGGUCAACCUCCGCUCGUUUCCUUCACCAUAUGCACUAAUGUGCUCCUUGUGACGGAGCGAGAGAUUGAGGAUUGCUUUUUUUAUCACCUCGAAGCCACCAUCUUCACGCAUGCUCUUAGUGCUACAUUGACAUUGAGUAGAAUUCAAUAUAGUAAGUGUUCACGAGCAAUUUUGAAAUAAGAAGGUAAAUAACAGUAAAGCUAUGUGAGCCAUUUCGAAGCAAUUUUCAGAACUUGAUUCUUUUUUAUAGUGAAGGAAGUAAAAUUCGAAAGAAUAAAAAUGUGAAAAAAUAAAACCUGUAGUUCGUGUGGCACCCAGCACCAUUCCAAUCACCCUGACCGCACAAUUUGACAUAUCAAAUUUUCGCUAUAAAAUGAAUAAGGUUUUACAGUAAGUUUAUAGUGAAAGCAAAUACCUCAAUUGGUUUUGGAUCAAGAGAAAGCACAACACCAGCUUGUUCUGUGAUUCUCUAUAGAAAGUCAACAACAUGUUAGUAUGGACCAGAUACAAUGAAUUUGAUAUAAUAGCUAGUUCAUUAAGUUCAAUUUAAUUCUAUAAAAUACUUGCCCAAAAAAAAAAAAAAAAAAAAAAAAAAAAAAAGGGAAAACAAAGAUUUGUCAUCCAUCUGGCAAAUUCCUCCGAACUAGAAGUACUAUAACACAAAAUAAAAGGCGUUGAGCAUUGAUUCUUUCAUGAUGUUUUACUGAUUUAGGGAGAAUUUUAGAUUACUGGCAGAGAAGAAAGGUUUUAUACAGGAGGAUUGACUAUUCAAGAUUUUCUCAAAAGAGUAUUAUCUGAAGGAAUGUUAGUUAUUCCAAAUAUUCCAAAAACUUCAAUCAAAAUCACUUCUUUUGAAGAUUUGUGCUACUAUUAUCAGAUAGCCAGCCGCAUACGGAAAAACUUGAAGUCAGUUAUCUAAUCAAAAUAGGUUAAAAUGUACAGUAUAAGUUAGAAACAGGAACCUGUUUAAGGGAUAAGCAUUAUUGCAACAAGAUUAAUGUGUUUAUCUUUGUGCACUGUAGGGAUCAUUAUUUUCCUAGAGCAAUUUGAAAUGACAAGUGCCCAAUGCAAGAGGAAUAAAAUACUUCAAAUAGAUGAAAACCAAAAUAUAAAUGCAUCUACUAUAUCUCAUUGUUAUUGCAUCCUAAAAUUUACCUCAAGAAUGUAUCUUGAACACCAUAUAUGAUCUCCAGCUUCAAUACCAACACUUGGUCCAACUUGAUAUUCCCACUGCAAAAGAAUUAUGAUUAGUAUUGAAGUUAAUUAGUUUACUUUCAAGGCGUAACUUAGAAGAACAACCAAAAAAAACACUAUAAGCUGGUUUAAAGAGAAGAUACAAAACUAUGAAGUCGAGAACAAAAUUGUGUGUCCAGCAAAAGGAGAAAAGGAAAAAGGAAGAAGGAAAAAACUGAGCAGAAGAGGUAAGAAGAUACACCUGGCCGGGCAUGACCUCUCCAUUGGUGCCACUUAUGUUGAUUCCAGCAUACAAACAGGCCUUGUAAUGAGCAUCUGAGAUGUCACGCCCGAAUGACUUAUCUGCCCCUACUGAGCAGUAGUAUGGCCCCUGAAACAACGUUAAACAAGCCCUUACUAUCAAUACAUCUCACAUAUUGUUUUCUUGUAAGUUCAGAAAAUGGACGUCUAAUUCCUCUUCUGUAGGUUCUUUUUUCUUUUUUUCUCGCAAACAUAUUGAAUGGUACAAAAUUUCAUCUGGUUGUUUCAAAUAAACUUGACAAUACAUUGUCAUAUGGUUUAGCCACAGUUUUGACUGGCUUCUGGAGCAACUUCUCUAUGCUAUAAAGGAAUACUCAGGCAUUAAAAGCUGAAAUAAAGCUUCUAGGUCCCAAAAGCAAAGAGAUUCAAUUAAACUACUGCUUCUACUGUAGCACAAAACUGCUAGGCAGAUUUGACGAGAAGGCUUUUAGUGCUUCCUGAAACAGCCUACUCAAGCAUUAUUAAUCAAAAGCUCAAGAAGGCCCUCCAAAAAGGAUUAUAUACUCUGUUAGAAAGACUUUUUGAAUUUUUUGUUUCCCAUCAUUGUACAGUCCAAUUAGAGAAACUUGAACUCCAUAAAGCUCACGCGGCAAUGUAAACUGACAGGAUUCAUGACAAACAAAGUGGUGUUUACCUGGGGGCCUGGAUAACCUCCAACGGGCCAUCCAAGAGGCCACUUCACAUUUCUUUGUAGUAAGGUGUACUCCUGCUCAAUCCCGUACCUACAGAAUGUUUGGAACAAGUUAGUUAUUUUAAAUUCAAACAGACCUCGUUUUUAAUAAGUCUAAUACAAAAUUCUCGUUAGAUGAAUGUUUCACUUAUUUAAUAGAUGGACCAUAACAGCUAAAGGCAAAUGCUAUCAAGUUCUGUUCAUGCCAUGAUACAUAUUUUGGCGGGGUUGAUUACCAAGGGAUUUCGUUGAUGACCUUUUGCUCGCUGAAUAUUUGAGCAGCCCUGUACCGCUUGUUAGUAGGAAUUGGUUCUCCACUUGGAGUAUAUGAAUCACAAAUCACCUUCACAAAAAUGAACAUACAUGUAACUUGAAAAUUGUAGUUAAAAACAAAAAUCCUGUGAAGUUGGAGACCCUUGUAUAUCAACAAGACAUAUAUAUAUGCUAGGUAGUAAUCGACCAAAAAAAAAUAGAAUCCUUGUAAGUUAAUGAAUGGUACUUCUUAUGACAUUUUCCAAUACAGAAAUCUAAUACAGAUUUACAAAAAGUUUACUAACCAAGAUAUUAUUGCCUCCUCGAAAAGGGUCCUUGAAAAUGGCUUGAGGGCUUCAAGAACAAGCAACACAAAAGACAAGUAAAGUGACGUAGUAAUAGUUAUUAUUUACCACAAUAGUUUCCUUUUUUUUUUGGAUAAGCAAAAUUUAAAAAAAAAAAAAUGCAUGUUUGUCAUAGCAUAAUUUAUCAUACUAUAGAAUAACUUCACUGUCUUCUCCAGGAGCUUGCCCAGUGCUUGAUCCGUCGUAAUUCCAUUUUGGUAGCUCUGAUGGGUGUUCCACUGGCUUCGGGAUUGUCUGUAUUAUAUAUAUCAAGAUAACUCAAUUAGUAAGGAAAAACAAAUCAAACUAGUCCACCUGCUAGUAAGACCAAAUUUGCUACCCUUUAGUUGUAACAGGAACAACCGUCAAUAUUAAGUAUUAUGUAACAAGCAUACUCUCAAUUUGCUUCGAAUAUCGAUAAUAUUAAGUAUUAUGUAACAAGCAUACCCUCGAUUUGCUUCGAAUAUCGAUGCCGGUCCCUCCAAUCCUAAUCAAAAUAACAAUUAGAUUGUUGAAGCUAAACAUCAAUAUAAAGCUGAAACAUAGUAAUAUUAUCCCCAUAAUAAGGAAACAUCUUUUCAGAUUAGAGAGUAUUUUCUACUAUAUAUUUCCGGAAACUCUUUCUAUGAAUUGAAUAAUGUCCCUUAUUAAAAUUUUAUUUCAUUGAAUUUGGUACUUCUCGAGACUUAGGAAACAGAUUUUGGAACAUGUAUAGGCCUUUUUAAUAUUUCUUAAUCAUGUUAAAUGUUUUAGAUUUCAACUAUAGGGCCUAUCACAUUUGUGUCAAAAGUGCAUGUUGAAUAUAAAUAUUAAAAACUCAGUUCUCUUACAGCUUAUGCUAUUGGAGAAUAAUGGUUAUUUCACAUAAUUUAACAUGGUUUCAAAAUAGAAGGUCUUAAGUUCUGUAAAACAACCGUUAUACUCUAAAAGCUUAAACUUUUAGAGAACGGUGUUUAUAUAUUUUUAUAUUUAACACUCUCUCUCACGUCUAGGCUCGAGACUUUUUGCAAAGGCCAUGACGUGGAUUUUAAUUAAAUGGGAGGAAAUUAAUAAUGCUAGGAGCUUGGCGUGACUCGAACUUAGGAUCUUCUACUCUGAUACUAUGUGAAACAACCGUUGUACUCUAAAAGCUUAAGCUUUUAGAGAAUGGUGUUUAUAUAUUUUUAUAUUUAACAAGUUCAAGCCCCGCAAUGCUCCUAUCAUUAUUAAAUUUCUCCUAUUUAAUUUAAGUCCACGUUUUUGCCCCUAUCAAAAUGUCUCGAGUCCAGACAUGAGUAGGGGUGUCAUCGAGCCGAACACGCGCGAGCUGGGGCAGGCUCGUUAAAGUAUCGAACCGAAAAAUUCAGCUCGUGUUCGGCUCAUUAAACGAGCCGAAUACGAGCUAGCUCACGAGCUGGCCAACGAACAAAAGUUAAAUGGAUUAGAUUGGAUAUAUAUAAAAAAUAAAUUUAUAAAUUCUUACUCAUUAGACUUUGAUCUAAUGGUUGAAAGUUUACAUACAAAUGAAUCAUUUUAUAAUUGAGCUCAGCUUUAUAUAUAUUUUUUUGCUAAAAAUCAAAUAAUAAAAAAAUAUAUAUUAUAUAUAUAAUUAUUUAGUUAUAUAUAUAAAUAUAUAUAAAUAUAAAUUAAAUAAAUUAUAUAAAUAUAAAAUAUAUGUAUUCGAGCUGUUAUCGAGCCGAACACGAGCGAGCUUACCCCAGCUCAUGUUCCGCUCAUUUAUUAAACGAGCUGAAAAAUUCAGCUCGUGUUCGGCUCGUUUACUAAACGAGCGAUUCGAUCUCGAGCUCAUUUCGAGCCGAACACGAACUGGCUCGCGAACAACAAGCUAGACAUGAGAGGGAACAUAGAAUAUAAAUGUUAAAAACACUAUUUUCUAGCAACUUAAACUAUUGGAAAUAACGGUUGUUUCACAUAAUUUAUCAGUGUGUAAUUCACGUGUCGAUGAAUUCCUUCUCAUAUAUAAAGAAAUAAAGCGCCAAUUUUGACUGUACAAUAUAAAUAAAAUAAGAAACACAACACCAAUGCCUAAACUCUUUGUUUUAUUUUAUAGGAAAAUUGAUCUCAACCAAUCUGAAUUUUACUGCGAUUUGAGAUCACCACCAGAACUUUGACAAUGACCUAACACCACCUAAAUAAUCUAUUUUUAUUGCAGAUAACCCCCUUUCGGAAGUAGCUUUUUAUCAUGAAUUCAUAUUUUUCCGUGGUUUUAUGCCAUUUUCAAAGUUCAGUUGGUGAUCUCCAAUUGCAUUAAAGUUCAAAUGGGUUUCGAGUUUUUUCCCUUACUUAUCUUAUGAUCCUUUACUGGAACAUCUUGUGUUAUUGCAGUUUUCAGACUCUUUUUCACAAUUUCUUGCCAAGGUUUGAGGGAAUUCAAGGAGAAGGGAAGUGGUGCCGUUACAUACCAAAUGUACUCCGCAAUGAUUUUGUCGGUGUAUGGAGUGAUGUCCAUAUUAAGCAAUCCCUCCAAUCUCGAAACCACACCAUCAUUUUCGGACUUGACAGCAAGGACUUUGAAUGUAGAGUUACUACUCUUCUUGGUUCUGGGCCUCUGAGGAUGUAAGAGCAGAGAGUUCCACAUCCUCGGUGUCAUGAUGGGCUUAGCUUUAAUCGAAUUGCUCGGGAUUGCCAUUUGGCACUGCAUGGUGGGCACCACCAUCUGAGCCAUCUCCUCCUGCUACCUCCCUUCAAUUCUACAAAUAGAAGAAUCAUAUUGUGUUGAGAUAUGAAAGAACCAAAAAGGGAGGACUUGCACAAUUUUUUUGACUUUAAAAGUAAGAAAAUCAUCCUAGUGUCACAAGGCCCCCGCCAUUACGGAGUUUAGAAAAGGUAAAAUUGAUUCAAACUGAUUAAUACAUGGGAAGAGACUAAUAAAUUGAUGGAAUAUGUUUUUCACCAUGCGACCAGAAUGCUAAACCCAUUUUGCUAUUUCUAAUGUUGCUAUGUACCUAAUCGCAUAAUUGCCAGUUAUCUUUAGAUGCAAGAAUAUUGAUGCUUGGCAAGUUCGUUUACCAUCUUGAAGCCAGAAGUUGCAAUAGAGAAAAAUUUUGCUAAUGCACAAAAGGCCUCACCUGGUCUAACUGAAUGUGAUACAAGCUGGCUUUACACUACCAACUUAGUUUAAACCAAGUUUACAGUGAGGACUGAAAAGAAAAAGAAAACUAACCAAGUGAUAUGUAGGAAUCAUCAUACAGAGAUCAAAAACAAGUGGGACGCACUUGAAGCCUCACUAAAGAGGAUAUACGCUAUCACAUCUCUGACGAAAAACAUUAUUAUUAUAUGAUUUGUUGAUCCAUUCAAGCUGAACAUGAUAAGUUUUACAAAAUAUUUCCAAAAACUACAUAUGAAUUCCAUAAUUUUGAGGAUUUUACCUUGUUUCAUAAAACUAAAGUCGUACUUAUAGCCUGUUUGGAAGGCAGAAAAAGUCGUCCAAUAAUAACCAGUAAGCCAACAGUAUUGGAAAACUACAAAUCGCAUUCCAACAUAAAUGAAUCCACAGCUUAUGCCAAGGAUUACUUGGGAGUAGAGAUAUUAAUAUGAAUGUAAUAUGCCGAUCCUCUAGCUCUCUUGAUCGAUAUGCUAUAAACCAUACGGGUUAUAUACCUCUCUUUCUUAAGGUGGAUCAGCAAUGACGGGAUCACAAGCUAUUCCUUUUUACUCUUCCCUCCGGUCAGUCAGUGCUCGAGUCAGGUACUUUUUCUUACUAUAAACAGGAGUAAAUAGUAUUGGAUUGAAUUCCCCUCUUAUAACUGAGACAUUCAAUUGUAGUUUUACGACAAGGGAAAGCCUUACUACUAACUCCAAUCUUUCUAAGAUAGUAGCUAGAUUCCAUGCACCUUUGGAGGCAAUUUAACAUAUUUUAGAAAAGUAAGAUUGCUCAAUCCUUUUUACUGCCUCCAUCAGGCGGCUCGUAAGCAUCACUUAUCAUCUUAUCUUUCGAGGAAGUUUGAUUAUUCAAUCCUUGUUACCCACUUGCAGAUGCCUUCUUAUGCCAGUUAUCGACAAACUCCUAAGUUCCCUUUGAAGAAAUAAGUAGAUAGAUGCUAAAAAAGAUAUUAAAGCAUCUGAAAGGUCAUAACGAAAUUACUAAUCAACUGAUGGUAUUUGGCGUACGUAGUUACUGGAAUCACUUCAAUAUUUGAGAUAAAAAAUAAUAAAUAAAUAAAUAAAAGAGCUUAUGGAAAGUUAGGAAGGGAUGAAAUUAAGAAGGAAGGUAUUAGGCCCUUGCCAGUUAAGAAAGUUGUAAGGUUAUUUAUUUAGAGUAGCUCCACUCAAGCAACAAGGUUUGCCUUGUUACCCAACAAGAAGAGAAGAGAUUGAUGUGAUAACAAACAGCCUGGGAACAGCCUUAAUACAUAACCCUGCUCAUGUGCUUAUUAGUGGAGAUUAGACAGAACUAUAUAUGCCGUAUAAACAACCAGAGUAGGUAGCAAAAGAGGAACAAAAUGAGACUUCAACCCAUCAAAUAAACGGCAGAUAAAAAAUAGGGUAUUCGUACCUGCGACCUCACAAAACAACACAACACAACAGGGUUCGGAAUCAACAAUACCCCGACGUCGCUACCUAAAGAAGAUCAAUUUAGUAGAGUAGGAACACCUUAAAAAAUAAAUUUAAAACCCUAGCUCAGGUGCACGGUGAAGAUCGACGGACCACGCAUUAUGCAUACGACGGAGUUAAAAGUUAGCGAACAUUAAAAAUGUGAGAUACAUCAUUACAUGACCGCACCGAAUGAGCUAAGUGGGCUUGCUUAUAUCCAACUACGGGUACCAUGUUAACCAAAAGACGGUUUAUGGAAUAUGGAUUAGAGCUAGCAGGGCCCAAAACUAAAGUAGCUAGCCUGAAAAACUUUUGGACGGCGGGGAUCGACGAGAUUUAACCCAUCAUUUAAAAUCAGAUCACUGUGGGGAUUGAUUUAACCAUCAAAUCCCCAUCCGCUGCUUACCUCUUACCUCUCCCACUGUAUUACAUACAAAUACGGCGAAUCUGAUCUUCUUCGCGAAGAUCAAUAUUUCAAUAAUUUCUAGGUCACACUUGCUAUCAUCAGAUCAAUCGAGUCGAGUAAGAACAGAUCACGAAGGCAAAGAGAGUGUCGGUUCAUCAUCAGCAUUCACCAAAAAUAAAAAUGUCAUCAAACGACCAACAAGAGCAGCAAAAUACGAUAGAUACAUUCUAGAAUUUCUGUGCUUCCCAUUCCCAGUCUCUUCUUGAGAUGUGAAGGGAAAAGAGAGAGAGAGAAGAAAAUAAAUAAAUACAUAAAUAAGAGGAGCAUUAUUAUUAUUAUUAUUAUUAUUAGUUGCUUACCAGGAGGGGAUCAGGCCUGGAGGAGUUGAGAAACUGCUGCUGAUAGGAAAAGAGAGGACGGGGGAGAAGAAGAUGGGUCUAGCAAAUAAAAGAGAGGCCAACUUUCCAAGAAUCCAGGUGAUGGAAGAUAUACAUAAAUAUAUAUAUAUAUUAAAAAAUUUAAAAAACAAGAAACAAAAUGCAAAUAGAAAAUGUAGGGAGACGGGUAGGCUUCGAAUUUUGGGAAGCAGAUAGGGUUGGGAUUCGACUUGGGUGGAGGAAAUUUGCCCCUUUGCUAAUGGGGGCACAACCAAAGAAAUUGGAUAUAUAAUUUUAUAAGAAGAUAAGGCGCGCGCUCUCUCUCCGCUAUUCAUUCAUUGGAAAAAAAAAAAAAACAAAAAAAAGAGUUGACUUUAGGAAAGACAUUCAGGGUUCGUUUUGUUCGAAAAUUAGUAAAAACUAGUUAUUCUAUAAAUUUUUAUAAGAAUAAAAAUUUUUUUUAUUUGGAUGAAAAUAUGAGUAUAAACUGGAACUAAAAAAAUUGUGUUUGAAUGAUUCUUGGGAAUAAGAGAAAUAGUUGAUGGUUAUAAAUAAAAAAUAAUGAUAUUAUUCCUAUAAUUGAAUUUAAAUUUUUAAAUUUUAAACUUAUAAUUUUAAAUUGAAAAUUUUAACUUUUAAAUUUUAAAAUUUGAAAUUAAAUUUAAAAUUUAAAUAUUCAAAUUUUUCAAUUUUAAAUUUUAAUUUUUAAAUUUGAGACCAAAUUUAAAUUUAAAAUAUAUAAAAUAUCAAAUUUAAAAUUUAUAAAUUUAUAAUAUCAAUUUUAAAUUUUAAAUUUUAAAAUUUAGAAUUUACAAUUUACAAUUUACAAUUUUAAUUUUAAAAUUACAAAUUUUAAAUUCUAAAAAUUUAAAUUCUAUUUUAAAACAAAAACUCUGUGUGUACCCAUGUGGGUAACUAUAGUUCCCACCUUAACCAAAUCUUGUUUGGGUACAAGAUAUGGUAAAAGGCCCCUUAUACCCCAUCUUGUACCCAAUCCAAACGCUAGCUUAGUGAUUGCAUAUAUUAGUUUAACAACCAAAAAUAAUAACUAAUUUAGCUGCUAUUUGCCGAUCUAAAAUAUUUCUGAGCAGGCAUGUAAAAAAUAGGGUUAAAUUACACCAGUAGUCCUGAAACUAACAAAUAUAGCUCGUUUCGUUGAUCGUCUACAAUAUUUCGAUAAUUUAUAAAUUUUUAAUUGAAGAGUUGUAAAAAGCAUUAAUAAAGUAGUAGAAUUGUUGUAGAUUCGUAGCUCAUAGAAAUACUACAUUAUUUUUCUAAUUAAUAUGAGUUUAUGGGUCCAGUAGCCUGUGGGCAAAUUCGAAAGCAAUUUUUUUUGUUGUGAAAAAAAUGUAAACUAAAGUAACUCUUUCAACUUUUACCUUUCUUUAUUUGCAUACUCUCAACUUUGAAAUUAAUUCGAAAUAUUUUUUAAAAUCAAAUCAGGGACUUGUUAAAAUUCACUGUUAAUUCAUUACACGUCAUUAUUGUUUAACAAAACUCUAUCAUCUAAAAUGGCAUUCAUAACAGUUAAAUUUAACUACUGCACUAUUAAAAUUUCUUAUUUAAAUAAGUUAAAUCAAAUAAACCAUUUUUUUUUUAAAAAAAAAAUCAAUUACACAAUACAAUCAGGGGGCCUAUUUCACAUUGAUUUAUGGUCUGAUGGGGUCCUUGUGCAUGUGUAAUAAAAUUUAACAGCUUCGUUCUUAAAAUUUCCAAUUUGAAACUAACUUAAAUAAAAAAUUAUGAAAUUAUAAAAGGGAAAACUUUAAAUACCCCUCUUGUGGUUUCACGCUUUCUUACUUUAGUACCCUGUGCUUUAAAGUGUAUUAAGUUAGUAUCAUGUGAUUUUGCACUUUUUCACUUUAGUACCCUGUGGUUUAAAGUGUAUCAAUUUAGUACCCUGUGGUUUCGCAUGUUCUCACAUUAGUACCCUGUGGUUUCACACUUUCUCACUUUAGUACCCUGUGGUUUAAAAAUCAUAGGGUACUAAUUUGAUACAAAAAUAAAAAUAUAGGGUACUAACUUGAUACACUUUAAACAACAGGGUACUAAAGUGAGAAAAUGCGAAACCACAUGGUAUUAACUUAUACACUUUAAACCACAUGGUACUAUAAAUGAAGAGUUGUGAAACCAUAGGGGGGAUUUUUAAAGUUUUCCCAAGUAAAGAACAUAACCAGGUAGCCCAUUUGAUUAAUUAGGAGGGAGUCUUUAUACAUUUGUAACUAAAUAUUAUAGUAAUCAAGAAAAAAAUAGUGAUUUUGACACGAGACAGGAUAGGGUAAAGUUGACAUCAGUAAAGUUUAUAUAAAAUUAUUUAUAUAAUAAGGCCUUUUUUAUAAAAAAUUCAUUAGUUUUCGGCUUUUGCAAAAUUGGAUCGUAUUUUUCGAUUUACAUAUUCGGUCCGAAUUUUCAGCAAACUGAUCAAAAUAUCCUUAUUAUUUUUUCUCUCGUUCUUUUUUUUCUCUCUCCGAAGAAGGCAGCGGAGGCGGAGGCGGAAACAGCCCACUUUGUCUCUGCCCCGCACGCCCUCGCCCUCGCCCUCGCCCGUGCCCGUGCACCCCCGCCCCCCUCGCCUCCGACCCUUCUUCUCUACUAGGGUACAGCGACGUCAAGGCACAAGCUCUUCUCCUCCACUGCACGUUGGAAUGCCGCGACGUCGUCGGAGGCGGCGAGCUCGCCUCCGACAACGUCACGGUGGUUGUGAUAGAGAGUAAAAGAGAGAUGGUAACAAAAAAAAAAUUAUAGAGAGAAAAAAUAAAAAAUAAAAAAAAAAUAUUUUUUUUCUACAGAAAAGAUUAAAAAAAUAGAAAAAGAAAGAAGAUGAUAAAAUUACACUGUUAAAAUAAGAUUACACUGUUUUUGAAAAAUUUUGCACUAUUUUAAUAAAAAUUGCACUAUUUGAUAUAAAAAUUAUACUCUUUUGGAAUAAAAUUUACACUCUUUAGAUUAAAAUUGAACUCUUUAAAAGAAUUUUGCACUAUUUCUUUUUAUUUUCUUUUUCUCUUUUUCUUCCUCUUCUUCUUCUUCCUCCGUCCACCGCCGGGUGACAGUACAGCACCGACUCCAUCUCCACGCUGCUGAUGUUCUCUCCAUCGCUGAUGAAAAAUGGCAUUGCUCACCUCCACCACCAUCACAGCAGUAUCGCCCUUACAGCCCCAUGAUUGAUGAAGCUCCCCUCUGCCUUCGUCGAGAACUAAUUUCGAACCAUAUAAGAUCAUAAUAGAUAGAGAGGAUGCAACUCGCAUGAGUAGCAUAGUAAAAACAAAACGGCGAACUUAUAAUUAAUUAAAGGGAACUAUAUAUAUUCGUUCGUGAUGGUAAUAACCAUUAACGACCAGUAAUGGUCGUGCAUCUAUCUACUGACGUUCUCGAUCAAUCAAUCGAGAAAUCGAUGGGCCCGCUCGAGCGGUAGAAACUAGCUAGCUAGGUACCUAGCUAGCGCGCGGUUCUUAAUUAAAUAAAUAAUAAAUAUUUUACUCGUCGAGGGCGUUGGGGCCGGAGUAGUAGUUGAGGACGGGGUUCCAGAUCCACUCGACCAAGAACCUCCGGCCCCCGACCCCGUUGACGUUGUAGGCGGCGCCGCUGCGCUGGUCGAGGAGCAGCUGUCCGGUGUAGGCUCUGCCACUGCCGGUGCGGUAGAUGCCCUCGCAGAGGUCAGCGAUCUCGGUGGGGAAGCAGGGGUCGCCGCCGGCGUACCAGGCGUUGACGAGUGGGUUGGACGCCAUCUCCGCCAGCUCGUGCGCCACCACGCUCACCAUGCGGUCCACCCCGACGUCCCCGUUCGGGCACCGCCCCGCCGAGUUGCCCGCCCACGCGUACGGCAGCGCGUAGCCCACGAUGGACGGGAACGUGAAGUAGUGGAACCCACGCACCUGCCUGCAAUGGACGGAGGAAGAAGAAGAGGAGGAAGAGACAGAGAAAAAGAAAUAGUAUAAAAUUCUCCUAAAGAGUGCAAUUUUGCCCUAAAGAGUGUAAAUCACAUUCUAAAAGAGUGUAAUUUAUAUAUCAAAUAGUGCAACUUUUAUUAAAACAGUGUAAUUUUUUUAAAAAACAGUGUAAUUUUAUUUUAAGAGUACAAUUUUAUUAUUUUUUUUUAUUUUUUUAAUUUUUUCUGUAGAAAAAAAAUAUUUAUUUUUUAUUUUUUAUUUUUUAUUUUUUGUUUUUAUAAUUUUUAUUUUUGCCACUACCUCUUCCUUAUUUUCUAUAGCAACCACCGUGACGUCAUUGGAGGCGAGCUCGCCGCCUUCGACGACUUGGCAGCGUUCCAACGCCCGGUGGAGGAGAAAAGCCUGCGCCUCGACGUCGUGCCCUGGUGGAGAAGGAGGCGAGGAGGCGAGGAAGGCGGGGGUGCACAGACGUGGGCAAGGACGAGGGUGUGCGGGGCAGAGACGAGGCGGGCUGUAUCCGCCUCCGCCUCCGCCUCCGCCUCCGCUGCUUUCUUCGGAGAGAGAAAAAAAAGAACGAGAAAAAAAAAAAAGAGGAGAGAGAAAAAGUAAUAAGGGUAUUUUGGUCAGUUUGUUGAAAUUUCAGACAGAAUCUGCAAAAUCGAAAAAUACGACCCAAUUUUGCAAAAGCCCAAAACUAGUGAAUUUUUUAUGCAAAAAGGCCUAUAUAUAAUUUAUAAUAUAAUAUUUUAAAUAAUAAUUUAUUUUAUAUAAUUUAUCCAUAAUAUUUGUAAUAAAUAAAAUAUAAAAAAAACUUCAAAUACCACUCCUGUGAUUUCAUGCUUUCUCACUUUAGUAUCCUAUAUUUUAAAAUAUAUAACUUAGUAUUUUGUGGUUUUAUUUUUUUCUUUCCAUUAUUUUUUCUGUUGAUUUUUCCAUUAUAUCAUUGAUAAAAUUAAAACCAUAGAAUAUUAAAGUAAAAAUUCGGUAAACCACAAUAUACUAUAGUGAAUAUUCAAUAAAGCAUAUGUGGGGUAUUUGAAGUUUUUUUGUAUAUGAUUUAAUGGAGAGUUAAUGAAUAUGCUGACGGAAAGAAAAAAAAAAAUACACGAUACUAAAGUGAUAUUCUUUAAACUAUAAAAUGCUAAAGUAAAAAAGUACGAAAUUAUAGUAGUGAUAUUUGAAGUUUACACUAAAAUAUAAUACUAAACUCAGCAUAAUGAACGGUGCAGGAUGCUCUCAGGAUUGUUUGCUGAUUAAAGCAGAAAGAAAAGCAAAAAGUGAUGCACAGCCUGGACAAUGUGCUUGGGCCCACCUAUGGCUUCUUCUUCUUUUUUCUUUUUCCUUUUUUGUGCAUUUGACCCCCACAAAAAAAUUUUAAUUAGAAAAAUUUACCUCCCCAAACUACAAACACAAAGUUGACUCUAUACUCGUCACCGUUGGUGCCAUGCACGUUGAAUGCAGAGGGUCAGUUGAUUUGUUUAAUUCUAGCAGGAUAGACUAAACAUGGUAAAAUUCUUUAACCUUGUUCGAGACACAAAAGUGCAAUAUUGAUUUGCUGUAUUUUGUUCGAGACACAAAAGUGCAAAACUGAUAUGCAGUAUUUAGAAUUCACUUAGUAAAUUUGACAUCGCACGUAAUUACCGUAUUUAAAAUUGGGUAAAUUAUACAGAGAUUUACUAAACUUUAGUUCUUUUACAAUAAGCACUUAAGCUUUUAACUAAACUUCAUCAAAUUGUUCAAUAGACUUUUCUCCUUAAUUAAAGAUAUUAAUUGCACAAUAUAUGGUUUUGGUCAUUUAUAUUACUUAUCUAUUAACCUAUAUAAAUUCCCAAUAUUUUUGCCACGUGGCAAGUUUUCUUUCAACCUCACUAGCCCUUUUUUUAAACUGACAUUUGCUCUUGGCUCUUCCCCUCCCAUCCUCUCUAUUCAAUGACCUGUAAUCAAUGUGCUCUUUAAUUUAUACGUUACUUAUUUUUCUCUUCAAUAUUGGCCAUUUCUUCUCCCUCAAACCUCUUUUCAACACCAAAUCUUUUACUUUCCAAUCCUUUGAAAUCACGAGAAUUAAUUAAUCCAAAAUGCAACAUUUAAUUAUAUGCACCAUAUUCCACCAAUGACUGGGCUGCGUAACUCUAAUCCACUCCUCACCUCCAUUAAUACCCCUACCCCACUCUCUUUUGCAUGGUCUCUUAUUUUUCAAUUAAAAAAGAACAUAAUCAUCUAAUCUCGCACCCCACACUCAUCUAGCCCUCUCUCUCAUUGUGUUAAUGAAGAUGAUGAGGAUAAUGAAGAAGAAGAAGAAGAGCAAACGAAGAAUGUUGUUUCCUUCGAGAAGUAUUGUCCCGCAAAGCCGAGCCGCAGCCCAUAUAGGUGCCCGCUGGGUUGAUUCAGCUGUGCUGGAGCUAGUUCUUUUUUAUCUUUCACAACAAAAUGUUCAAGAGGCACAUACAUAAUACGAUAAAAUUGUAUGUCUCUUACUGUAUUUUGAUGAUUUUAAAAAAAAUUAUAUAAACUUCUAACUAUAAUAUUAUUUUUUUAACAGUUGAAUUUAGUCAUGCAAAUUGACUAUGCUUAACAUGGUAUAGCUUCCUAUACAUCAAAAAGCUGUAAAUAUAAAUUUUAUUAAAAUUUUAAAAUUUUGUUUUUAUUAUCUAUCCGCUGCAUUGCGCGGGUUUCUACACUAGUUUAUAUUCAUACCUAUACAUAAUUUCUUAUGGUCAAAUCUAACGUGGAUGUAUCACCUUCAUUUGAGGGUUGUGGGUCCAACUAUUGUUUUAAAUUUUUCUCUAUCCUUUCUUCUACUUAGUAAACCCUUCCUCUCCCUUGUAGCCACAUCUUUCAACUCUCUUUCUCUCUCUCUCUUUUCUUUUUCCUCCCAUCUCUUACCUUUCUUUAUCUCCCAAACCGAUAGCGGCGUCUCUCCCUCUCCCCUCAUCUCACCUAUGCAGCUGUUUUGAAUCUCUCCAUGAAUGAUUUUAAAUUUUUUUUUCUCUCCCCUUUUUCCUCUCACUCGCCACUCGGAGCCCAUCGGCCCCCAUGCGCUGCUCUUCAUGCAUCCUCGACAAGGACAGUGUACGGUGCCAUCGCCAGUUGUCCCAUUCUCAAUAAUCAUUGGAUAUCUAUAUUCCUAUAUUUUCAUUUCUUCCAUAAAUUUUUAUUUUGUUUAUAUUAUCUACUCGUCGCAUGUGACGCCCUAACUUCCUAGGGGGUCACCCAUCCUAGGACUACUCCUGUUCUAGCACGUUUAACUCUCUUAACCUCUUGGGCCUUACCACCACCCAAAAUGCUUAAGCCGGGUUAAGAGCUUAGCCCUAUUAUAUCUCAUAUAUAGGACUAUUUAGGGUUUCACAAUCUCCCUUCCUUUAAGCCCUGACGUCCUCGUCAGGCUCAGACUCACAAGUACCAGGCGAUGUGAGACUCAUCUCGCUAGCCCGUCAUCCAGACCCUGGCUCAACCGAGACUCAUUUCACACUUCCGGCUGGUAAUUGGCUCUGAUACCAUCUGUGACGCCCCAACUUCCCAGGGGCUCACCCAUCCUAGGACUACUCCCGUUCUAGCACGUUUAACUCUCUUAACCUUUUGGGCCUUGCCACCACCCAAAAUGCUUAAGCCGGGUUAAGAGUUUAGCCCUAUUAUAUCUCAUAGAUAGGAUUAUCUGGGGUCUCACAUCGCAUUACAUGGGUUACUUCACUAGUAAAGCUUUAUAACACAAACAAAUUUUAUUUUGUUGUAUUCUAACAUGUAAAUAAAAAGGGAUAAUUGCCUAUAUACCCCUCAUGCGUCUGGAAAUAUCCGAUCUACCCCUACUUUUUUUUUUCUUUCUAAAAUGCCCGUCAUAUGUUCCACCGUUAUUGCAAAAUACCCCCGCAGUUAUCUCCUGUUAAGUUAACCUUAGUUAAACGUGAGUUAAAUAUCUAUCACAGUUAAAAAAAAUUAAAAUGCCAAUUUUGCCCUUAACUUAAGGGCAAAUAAAAAAGGUUGGUUACGGUAGAGGGGUAUAUUGGAAAAGACAAAAAGUUGAAAUACUUUUUGUGCCCCUGGCUUUAAGGGCAAAUAAGAAAGACAAUGAUGGUGGAAGGGUAUAUUUGAAAAGGGUAAAAUAGUAAUUUUACAGAGAUAACAGUGUUACUUAACAAACUUUAACUCUAAGGGUAUAUUAGAAAUAGGUUGAAACGUAGGAGGGGUAUUUUCAAUAUUAGCCUUCUAAGAGGGGUAAAUCGAAAAGUCGGAAACUUUUCAGGGGUAUAUAAGAAAUUGCCCCUAAAUAAAAUGUGAUAAAAAUUAAAAGUGGUUCAAUCUAUUUUUCACUCAUCAUGCUUAAUUAUCAAAUUGGAAAAGCAAAAACGGAUUUCUGUACAUUUUGAAGUCUUAUAGGAUUAUGUAGAGGACAUCCGGUCAAAACAGGUAUGUAAUUAGUAUGUUUACUUGAGAGAGGAGUCUAUUGAACUAUUUAAUAAAGUUUAUGAAAUGUAGUUGUCAAAAUCGAAAGUUUAGGAGUCUAUUUAAAAAAAAAAGCUAAAGUUCAAGGUGUCUUCAUAGAUUUUUAUCCUUUAAAAUUUGAGCAAUUGUACUUCGACAACCAAAAGCUUGUUGUAAUCUUACAACUUAAUGAUCCAAUUACUCAUAUCUAUCUGCAAGUCUUAUUAUGUCCUUUUCUUUUCCAAUACUAAAGACAAAAAAAAAAAAAAAUCCAAGGAUAGCAUUAUAACCCUUGGAUUAAGGAAUAUGAUGGAUAAAUAGUGGUCUUAUGCUUAUAUGUUGAUGAUAUUUUAAUUUUUGAUACUAAUAUGAAUGUGAUAUAUGAUAUGAAGAAAUUAUUAAAUAAAAAUUUUAAUAUGAAAGAUCUUGGGCAAGCAGAUGUUAUUCCCAACAUGAAGAUCACUAGAAAAUCGAAAGAAAUUAUUAUGAGCCAAUCCCACUGCAGUGAACAGUUAUUGAAAAAGUUUAGAUACUUUGAUAUUAAACCUGUAGUCACACCUUAUGAUUAUAGUGUGCAUGUUAAAAAGAAUAGAGGAGAUCCAAUAGAUCAAAAUAGAUAUUCACAAAUUAUUGGAUCCUUAGGAUAUUUGGUGGAUUACACUGGACCUGAUUUGGUUUAUACUAUGAACCGAUUGAGAAGAUAUACCCAAACUCCAAAUAGAGAGCAUUGGAAUGCCUUAAAAAUUAAGAGUUUUGAGAUAUCUGAAGGGGACUGUAUCUUAUGGAUUACAUUACACUGGUUUUCCUGCAAUAUUGGAAGGAUAUAGUGAUUCUAAUUGGAUUAGUGAUACAGCUGAUAUAAAGUCGACUACUGGAUUUAUUUUUCUUCUAGGAGGAGCAGCUGUUUCUUGGAAGUCAACUAAACAAUCUUUGAUUGCUAGAAGUACUAUGAAAUCUGAACUCAUAACCUUGAAUACAACUACAGCAGAAGUUAAGUGGAUUAGAGAGUUUCUUUAUAAUUUGCCACUUAUGGAGCGACCUUUAGCACUUAUAUAUAUUCAUUGUGAUUGUAAAUCUGCAAUAGAUAAAUGUGCCCAAGAAAAUGUGGAGACUAAAAUGAAUAGAUUCAUGAAAGUGAGACAUAAGUUUAGUCGGCAGAAUUCGAAGGAAAAUGUGAUUGGAUUGGAAUUUGUGAAAUCUACAAAGAAUUUGGCUGAUCAGCUUACGAAGAGAUUAUCUAGGAUAGUAAUCCCAAAAUCGUCGAGGGAGAUGGGGCAACCUAACCUGUUGCAGGUUCAAUGGGUAGAAACAAGUUGAACAGGUAGCUGUGAGGAGCACUGUUUUUAUAUCCUUAUCCCUAUGGCGACAGUGCUCAUAUCUGCAAGUGGAUAGGAAGGGUGUUGGCUCUGAAUGGCUCCGAGACCUAUAAGGCUGGGUGUGACCUUGCAAAUACCCUUUGAGGACCUACUAUAUGUGUGGAGUCGUGAGGCCGCAGCUAUGAGAAGAUGGCGGUUCCCUAAAAUACACACGAAGCGAUAUUAGCGCAUGGCCAUAAAAGUGCUCACCCGCUUAGAACCUAAAUGACUGUACCAUGUGUGUUGUUCGUGGAAAUCUGAUUCACCAGCCUUGGUUCAAGGCGUAGUCCACCAUCGUGCCCUCGAAUGUACAUUAACAAGCGGUAAGUGAAGGUUCAAACCCGAAAGGUACCUUUACCGAAUACGUGGUAUAAGAGAUCCAGCAUUCCUUUGAAUUGUUUUGAAUUUCAGUUUAUUUGCUUUCUUUAUUUCAAAUUUUAAAUCAUGUGAGGGGAAUAUUGGAUUUUAUUGUUUUAUUAGGUUUUUGUGAUUUAAAACUUGUUAAGGCCUCUUGGAAGCCCAAUAAUUAUUAAUGGGCUUUGUUAGAAGCCCAACUUAAGUUUCUAUAUGUGAGGUUUAGUCCCAUAUUGGAAACUAAAAGGGUGUUGAUGGUGUAUUUAUAUUUCUUUAUUCUCAAGCUACUUGUUUGGAAGAAUAUAAGAAUUAUGCUCUUGUUUAAACACACGCACGGCACGAGCACUAGCAGAGCCGGGCGGGGGGCGGCUCGCGCGGUCCAUACACCGGGUUUAUUUUAUUUUAUUUUAUUUUUUCGGUUUUAUCUUUAUUCUAAUCCUAAUCCUAAUCCUUAUCCGUUUAAUCUUAGGCUUAUCUUAUUCUACACGGAUUUGAUGCGUUGAAGCAAGAUUAUAUUGGGCGAGGUUGCACGAGUUGAAGAAAGAACCCGAGCAUACCUAAACCUUACCUCGUCUCUUCCUGCUUUCUCGCCAUUGGUUUUUGCGCCGAUUUUUGCCAAGUUUUUAUUGCUGGAUCUCAAGCUUGUUGGGUUCGUCUUGUACCGCCUUGAAAUCAUUCUGACGGGGUGGAACGUGGUCGUUGUAUCGCUGAAAGUAAUUGCCGGCAAGCCUCACACGUGGAGAGGCAAUUUCGCUUAUAGGACAGUGCUCCGCACGCCUCGAUCCACAGGCCUUAUCUAAACCUUUUCUUUAUAGUAUUUAUUAUUUAUUUUCUUUCUCAGAAUUUUUCUAAACCUGAAAUUAAACUUUCGGAUUAUUUUUAAAGAAUAUUGUAAUAAAAGAUUAGAAUAAUUUUUCCAACAGUAUAUUGAUUAUUUUCUAUUUUGAUGUAAGGACUGAGAUUUUCGAAUGUAGCUAAACUUUUUGUUGAUGAUAUUUUUGUGUGUAAUUUAAUUAUAUAAGCACUCGUCAACUUUCAGCAGAAAAUGCAUUAGAAUGGAGAAGUUACGCAAUCAUUACUAAUCACUUACAGUGAAUAGUAACUCCGGUUUUUCGGAGAGGCCAAUAAGCGGAGAUGGCUUCUGGUACGUAUUGGACUCCGAUUAUAGUGAUCCAAUAGCUCGUUUUCAAUGGUUCGACUAUCCUGAACCCAAUGGCAUUGACCGAUUUGGGUUUUGAUGCAUGGUUUUCGAGAAAAAAGAGUUUUAUUGAAAAAAGGGUUUUCGUUCUUUGCUGUUAUUGCAUUAUAAAACUCCUCGUGCUCUGUGCAUGUGACCUGGAGUAAGGUGAAAGAUGUUUCAGGUACCUACUAGUGGUAGGGAAGUCAAAUUCGAAUUCGAAUUUGAAUUUGAGGUUUAUUGGGGUUUACACAUACGUCUAUGUAGGGUGUAUGGAAAAGUGGAGAGGGGAUGGAUUUUGUCGCAAAUCGGCAACCAAAUCGAACAAAAUGAAAUGCUAGAUUCGAUGCCCAGUCGUGCCGAACGCGCUGGCGCAAUCCGAUCGAAAAUCUGACGGAUGGAUCUUCGGGAAUCGCGAAAAGUUCACUGAGGGGUCGAAAUCGGCAAAACGAAAAAUUUGAGAAAACCCAAUAUUUUAUGCACCGUUUUGCGUGAUUUUGAACGUCGAGAUGCGUACGCGCAUAUUACACGCGUGGUAAGGGACCGGGCUUGAAAUUUGCAGCUUUGGAGGACUAAUCUACACUUUAGCCAUCCUAUGUUAGCUUUAGGGUUCCCAUGAAAAAACCCUAACCCUAACAGCCCCUACUGCCUCCAGCUGCACCCCUCUAGCCUCCAUCACCUCCCUGCACCCCACCGCGCGCACCCCGACCCCGUCCCCACCGGCCCACGUUGUCCAUGCGCGCCUCCGACGCCGCCUGUGCGACCCGCGGCCAGCUCGGGUCAGCUCGGGCAGAGCUCAGUUGUGCUCAAGGCCCGCGUGCUAUAGCUGCCCUAGCUUGGCUGCCCCGACUCCCUUGGACCUCCGGCGACCUCCCGCUCACCGUCCCGUCGUCCUGGAGCGCCGCCGGCCGCCGCUCGUGCUCCCUGCGGCUGCCCAGACUCAAAGCGGGCCAAGGCCUAGUCACCUCGGCCAACGCGCGUCGCCUUCGCCCACCGCCGGCCGCACCACCCUUCCUCUGUAAGAACCCGAACUUCUCCAAUUAUGAAGUUUCAGUGGGAACAAACUUAAAAAGCUAGUAGAUAAGUUCCGGCGAAGUUUAGAGAGCAUUUGAGCAUUUUCGGCGCAAACUAAACGCGAAACGGGCUCAAAAAGCAAGAAUCUGCCUAAGUUGCAGAAUUUGUACUGGGUACCGGUAUUGGAAAACUGGGUACCGGUACGCAAUACAAAAAUGAGAAAUUUUGCUCUCGGGUUUUAAGGUACUGGAAAUGGGGUACUGGUACUGGACUGACCGGGUACCGGUACGCGAGCCCGAGUACCGGUUCGCAGCCUCCCAGAAUGCUAUUUUUUAGGGGUAAAAAUGUAAUUUCAGUGUGGGCUUAUAUAAAGGGGUGCCUACCCCUUUCCCUCAGCCCAGAACACACACGCACACAUGCACACAGAGAGAGAGGAGGAGCUCAUCUCUCUCCCUCUCUUGUUCCCCCCUCUCCAAAUUGGAGAUCUUGGUGGAGAUCGAGCUUGGGAAUGCGUAGGGAGCAGUGGUUUGAGCUCUCGGACGCUUGGUGGCUCGGUGUGCUUUCGACUCGAGGUUUGUAAAUGGGUUGAAAGGUUAGGGUUUGGCUUAAAUCCCUCGAAAUGAGGUUCUAGUGAACCCUAGAUGAUUCUAAACUAGGUUAAUCAUGGUUUCUCCAUGUGUUUUGGGUGUUUUGGAGAAAUAGAAAACCUAGGGUUAGAAUUGGGGAUUUUAGGGUUUGAGCUAGGGUUUUGGAUUUAAACCUUCCAAAUGGAUUUCUAGCAAACCCUAGGCUACUCUAAGCUACAAAUGGUAGAGAUUAGCAUAUGGAUUAGAGUUUUAUCAUAAAGUUUGGAAAACCCUAGGUUAAAAAGAGGGAUUUCUUGGUAAAGGGUUCUAAUAAUGUUUUAACCCUUUGGAACCCUAAUUAAGGGUUAGGAAAUCAUAUGAGGCUAUUUGAUUUCAAGUAGAGAGAUCAUUUAGUGGUUUCAAAAAUGGUAACGAAGGAUUUCUUGUAUAGGGCAAGGAAAGCUUGGGAGAAAGCGUGGAAGUCCAAGUAGUUGGCCUAAUUGCAAGUGACUACAAGCAAUUAGGAAGCUUAAAAGGUGGGUUGUGCUUCACCGAAGUGAUUAGAUAACUUCCAUGCCAAAGUGAAGUAUGGUUUAUUGUUGAUGCAUAUAUGUAUAGUGGUAGGUUGUAUAAGAUUAAUAUGAAUGCAUGAAUCAUAUUAUGCUAGAUGAUGCUACCUACCAUUGGAUGACGAUGAUGAUAUCGGUAUGUGCAUGAGAUGCUAGAGGACAUAUGCAUAUUGACAUAUGGUGAGAAUACGCUAGAUUCAUAUAAAUGUAAACUUGGGUCGAUAAACUCUAGGUUGAUUAGAGAACUCAACAAUUGAAAAACAAGUAGAUUGAGUGGCAUGUCAAUUAUGAUUCCUAGGUGUGGACAACUAGGAAAACAAGUAACAUGUGUGGCAUUGAACCUAGUGUCAUUGAACAUAGGUUGAACAGUGAACCUAGAGUCGAGAUCUAAGUGAAAAUGACAUAGAACCUAGCGUGGUUGAACCUAGAUUAUGACAUGUAGUGACACCUAGUGUGGUUGAAUCUAGGUUGUCAAUUAUAGUGGUAGAAGGGCCACUAGGAUGUGCAUGAGUCGAACCUAGAAAGGUCGACAUUAUAGGGUAUGAGGCUAACCCUUGAGAUGUGGAAAAGUGGAUUCCGGAAUCUCUAGAAAAUGAUGGCCGCGAGUGCAGCAGAUGAGACUUGCGGAUGAGAGCAAGUGAAUUAUAACUGCGGGUAUGUUGGUUCUCCUCGCCCGGCAGUGAUUCAACGGGUAUGUUGGUUCUCCUCGCCCGAUAUGAGAUUUGUGGAAACGGGUAUGUUGGUUCUCCUCACCCGUUGAGCUUGAGCGACUGGUGGUCCGAGGUUCGACGGUUCUCCUUACCCUAUGGUAGACCUAUAGUCGAGUGAAUUUAAAGCAGAGGUGCAUGUGAGACGUCCUUCACCACGAGCCUGACUGAGCACGGUACUCCACGGAUGUUUGACUCAAGACCGAAUCGAGUGACAUAGUUGGCUAAGGUAGAGAAAACCUUAGAUGAAAAUGGUAAAUGAUGUGGAUCUAAGGUAGAGGAAACCUUAAAAGCUAGUUGGAUAAGCUGUGGAUAGCGAGAUAGAAAUUAGAAUCAGUAGAUCUACCUGCAUUGUUGCAUGAUUUGCAUGUUGCAUGUUGUGAGGCAGAAGCAUGAUAGUUGUUAGUUGCAUAAAUUAUAUGAUGAUAUAUAUAUCUGUUGUGCUAACAUGUUGUUUUGCUUUUUUUGGACCUGGUGGGUCGAGCUCUUCCCUUAGGUGGCCGUACCCACUGGGAACUAUGGACAAUAGUUUUCACCCCACGUUUUUUAGGUCCACACGCGAGCGGCAAGGUGGCUCGAGGAAAUGGCGUAGCUCCGUAGAUAGCGCCCUACCACUGAGACCAGAGAUAGCCAGUAUCCCAAGUCGGCCUAGCUAGGUGUGUAGAAAAGAAAGAAACACAAAUAUAAUAUUUAUACUAGUGAGGAUUGUAUUUAGAAGCUAAGUGAAAAAAUGUAAUAUGUAAAAUGCAUGUGUGUUUAAUGAUUGUAAUAGUUUAGCAUUUAUAUUUUUGAUACUUUCCUUAUGCAAUCUGUGUAUGAAUGCUAUUCCUGGUUGGAAUCUCGCGAAUUGUAUGGAUUGUGACGCCUAGGACGUACAGGGGAGACUCUGUCCGUUCGGCGGUCUGUCGGCGUGCCCGAAUCCGACCAAAUAGGCGGGUCUCGGAGCGUGACACCCUCGGCCUCCGGCGACCGGCCGCCGUCGCCUCGAGGCUCCUCCGGCCGCCGCCUGGCUGCCGCUGCCUCCUUGAGCCGAGCCGAGUUGUGCGGGCUUGAACUCCUCCGCCGCGCCACCGGCUGCCUCCUGCCGCCGGCCAGCGUGAGCCCCGGCCCCCGCUGACCGGCCGCACCCGCCUCGGACCGGCCCGCCCGCUGUCAGGCCACCGCCGGUCACCCCGUGCCCUACCUUGCUCCGGUAAGGCUUUUAUUAGCUUUCUGUGCACUGUUUUGGAUUCCGGUCACCUUUCCGACGAUUCGGAGACACCUCGACAAUUUUGGAUGUGAGAACGAUGAUCCCUGAUCUGUGAUGAACAUCGUGCUCACCUCCAUUGGGGUCAGUGAUGCCCCGGUUUGCGUGUUAGACACGAUUUAGGCGAUAUGCGUGCUGUUUCGCUAAAGUUUACGUCGCUCGCGCGCUUGCCACAGUGGCCGGUUGUGCUCCGAAGUGUGAGCACGGCCUCCGGCACAUCGAGACCUGUCANCCCCAGUGUGCAUAUUAAACGCGGUUUAGACACUAUGCGCGCUGUUUCGCUGAAGUUCGCAUCGCUCGCGCGCUUGCCACAGUGGCCGGCCGUGCUCCGAAGUGUGAGCACGGCCUCCGGCACAUCGAGACCUGUCAGCGGAUGUCUCAGCCUAGCUAGAAAGUCCUCGCUUUGCGCUGUCGGGCCGUGAAACCCAAAAAAUCACAUGCAAUAAUGUGAUUUUAUGUAGUCGCAAGGGUUUCUAUGCAAUUGUGCGUUAUGUGGUCGCCGGUGGCAGCGUGUGCAGGCAGUAGGUGACCUCUAGACUCGUUGUCCAAGGCCCCAGGUCUUUUCGAAGAUCGAAAACUGAUUUUCGAUGCGUUUUUCGGCAAAAUUCGCCAACGGAACGCGUUUUCGGUUCGAAAUUCUUCCGACGGUGGCUCAUGAUAAUUUGUGUCGUUGCUGAGCCUUGUUGGCUGGUCACCCGCAUCAUUUCGAGGGUCCGAAAAACGACGAGUGAGCGACGGUAGGUUUCGGUGUCGAAUUGGACACUUCCGGGAACCCGAAUCAGAACGACUAUCCGAUGAUAAUCGUUUCGAAGUGAGAUAGUGUAUUUGCUGCCAGGUCACACAAAUAUAUGUAUUUAGUGGCAGCGGGAGACUCGUAGCACGAGUCGGUGAGUUCCGGGACAGUUCGUGGGUCCCGAUGCGAUUUUCGGGACUUUCAGUGUAUUGCGGCAAUCGGUCUUAGGAACCGAUUCCCGUAGGGUUAUUGGUGGGGUUUGUGAGUUAGUGAUUCAUAUUGUGGGUUGGACACUAACCAGGUGGACCCUUCGUAGAUUCGGUUGUUACUUCCUCCGUAGUUGGAAGGCCAGUACCAUAUUUGUACAAGUGGGUACUUCGAUCCGAAGUCGGUACAGUGGUGCACGCUCAGUGAUAUCUUCUUACCCUUGUUCUCUUGUUAUUACUCUACAUGCAUAUAAUAUAUGUUGAGCCUAGCAUCUAUACUAUGUUUCCUUGUUGCUCUACUUAGCUGUUUUGCAUAUCCUGUAUCAUGUUUAGAGUAGAGCGGUUUCGUGAUUAUUUGUGAGAUUGUGACCUAGUCGGUCAGUGCGUUGCAUCUGUUUUGUGAUCUAGUUGGUCGGUUGUUGUAUUCCGUAUCUGUGACCUAUUCGGUCGGUUUGCUGCAUUGUUGUCGUGACCUACUUGGUCGGUUGGACCACUUGAUGACCUAUACGGUCGGUAUGCCUUGAGGGGCAGAAUUGUCGGCUAGUGGCUGACGGUUAGUUCUGGAUUAAACCGAUGUAUGAUGUGACAUCCUUGUGGCCUAUUGGUCGGUUCUUGUGUAUAUAAAUGUUAGUUGACAUUGAGUGGUCGAUACUUGCACGUCUUCGAAGGGAAGUUGAGUUGUUCCAUCCUAGUUGACCUGAGUGGUCGGUACUUGUGUUCCUUACAGCUCGAUGACCUAUUAGUCAGUGUGCCUCGAGGGGCGGUGAUUGUCGGCUAGUUGCCGACGGAUGGCUAUUGAGCAUAUUAGUAUUGAUCGCCACUGCUCGUACGCAUUUCACGAACACCAGCGGUUUGGCCACCGCAAGAGGGUGUUCUUUUUCGAAAAAGUGGUUUGGAGUGCCAGCCCGUGAAACCCAGGUGCUUUAUGUAAGGGUUAUGUGCUUUCAGAUCCGUGUGCUUUAUGCGAGGGUCAUAUAUCUUUCAGACCCGGGUGCUUUAUGCGAGAGUCAUAUACAGGUUGAGGAGCUGUGGCACAGGCCUGAGGUGUUGCGGACCAAUAUGGCUAUUUCAAAUUGGGUAUUUGGACUUGUCGUCCGGUUGAUGCAUACAUACAGUAACCGUGGUUGUUUAUUAUAUCUCUUGUUCAUUUAUUAUCGUUGCUACUGUAUUACACUUACCCCUAUCUUUGUUAUUCUCCUUGACUGGUGAGCACCCCUCGCCCUCGCCGGCUUGCGGUACCCACUUGGAGAGGAGACAUGUGUACAUGUUCUCACCCCCCACCCCGAUUACAGAUGACGUCGCUGGUUCUAGUGGGACGGUUCGCGAGGAGCGUACUUAGCGGUUUGGUAGAGUUUACGGACCCGUCCAUUGGUUUAAACUCUAAACUUAGUUUAUCUAAAUAAAUAACUUAUACACCAUUUAUGGUUCAGUACUUUUAUGUGAAUUGAAUAUUUGGGUUUUCGUGAAUAUAAUAAAGAAUUUGUGGAAUCUUGUGAAAUGAAAAUGGUUUUCUAUCCCUCAUGAUAGUAUGUUUUAAAAGAAAAAGGUUUCCAUGUGGAAAACAGUUUUUUAAAGGUUUUCUCUUAGUUUUCAUGACUUGGAAUUUUAAAACGAGUUUCCGGGUAGGAAACAUUUUAAACUAAUAGUUGUGGAUUUAUAGAUAAACUCUGAAUGUGAAUCUAAAUAGGAAUGGUGUAUGAAUGCGUGUAUAUUCAUAUGUAGUGGUUGUAUCCUAUAUUAUGUAUCUUGUACUUGUGCGACGCCGUGCAAAUAUAGAGGAGACUCUAUCCGUGUGAAUAGUAGACUCUCUAUAUUUAUGGCAGAUCUAGCAUACCGUAGGGGUCAGGUUUUCCAAAAAAAAAAAAAAAAAAUUGGGCACUUCCGCUUUGCUUUUAAAUCAAAGAAGGAUCCUGGGGCGUGACAUUUGAAUACUUAAUCCCCAUGUUGAAAAUAAAUUUAAGAAAAAUUAUUCGGAUCAUAAAUCUAUAUUUGAAGGAAAUCGGAUUUAAAUUCAGAUUCAAAAUGUUAUCAUUACUACUGAAUUCAAAUUUGAGUUCGAGUCCGAUUGGAUUAGUCAAAUUUUGACACAUGAUCAGAAAUAUCCAAACCAUUUUAACAUUAGAUUCAUGUCCCUAUCAUGCAAUCACCACAUCCAAUAAAUUCUACCUUUCCUAAUUUAAAUAACCAUAUUUUUUUAAAAAAAUAAUUAAAUUGUUAAAUUGUAAUAAAGUGCAUUCAAGUUCUCUUUAUGGAAAUUCUAAGCCUGAGUAUGUUAUAGAAUUUUUGCUUGAUUGGCUAUGUUUCUUCUCUAUCCUUUCUUUUCUUUUGAGUGACUCUCAUUCUUUUACUUUGCCCCUUAUCUCAAAUAUACUUUUCCAUAAAAUCGUACUUCAAUUUAUGUCCUGUAUUUUACCACUAUUUUAAAUACAUCCAAAAAUCUAUAGAUAUAUUAAAAGUUAGGUUCUAACGGGGUUAUGUGUCGCGUCUCCCAUCGCAACAGGCGGGGCCGCAUGGGCGUGUCGAGCGCACAGUGCAGCAUGGCGGCGUCGGACGGGUCGCAGGCGCGAGUGGCAGCACGGCCGGGCGCGCGCGGGUCUCCCCUCUCCCUCUCCCCCCUUAUCUCCUCUCCUUCCCCCCACGCGUUGGGCGGCGCAGAGCGCCGCGAUGGCGGCGCGGGCACGGCGGCGGUGAGUACAGCGCAGCGCGGGCAUGCGCGGUUGGGCGGCUGAUCGAGCCCCUGCCCCUCUUCUCCUCUCUCCAUUUCUCUCUUCUCCCUCACCCUCUCCCUCUCCCUCUUCCCCACGGCGGUCGCGGACGCCUGAGCUGAGCGGCGGCCAGGUGUGGCGAGACUCGAGCGCCCCCCCCUACCCCUCCCCCUCUCCGGUCUCUCUCUUUCUACUCUUCUCUCUCUACUUGACCAUUAAAAAGGUAAGAAAUUUAAAAUUAAAGUUUAAAAUUUAAAAUUUAAUAUUUGAAUUUUAAAUUCAAUUUAUAAUUUAAUAUUUAAAAUAUUAAAAUUUGAAAAUUAAAAUUUAAAGCUUAAAAUUUAAAAAUUUUACAUGUUAUCUUAAUUACUAAAACUAAAUUUUAAAAUUUUACAAUUUUAAAUUUAGAAUUUCAGUUUCUAAAUUUUAAAAUUUAAAUUUUGAAUUGCAAAAUUUAAAAUUUAAAAUUUAAAAUAUAAAAUCUAAAAUCUAAAAUCUAAAAUCUAAUAUUUGAAACCUAAAAUUUUAAAUUUUAAAAGUUAAAAAUAAUAUUUAAAAUAUAAGUCUGAAAGAUGUUAAUUUGAAAUUCAUCAAUUUUGAAUUUUAAAUCUGAAAGAUAAUUUAAAAUUCAACUAUGAAAUCAAAAUUUAAAAUUUUAUUUUAAAUUGAAAAUUAAACUGAGAUGUUAGAUUGCCGAUGUUGAUCCGCCGCGAAGCGCGGGCCCUAAACUAGUAUAAGAUGAUCACUGAAUUUGAAACUAAAACAUCAAACAUAAAUAAUUUGGUUGGCUUAGCUUCAUUUAUUCAUUUUAAAUAAACCAAACAGGCGCUCGAGCUUAGCACUUUCGCCAACAGAACCUGAACUUUGAUUAAAUCUCUCAAAUUUUGUCAAAUAGCAUAAUAGAUCUCUCUCCUCAUUCAAAGUUACAAAUUAAAAAAUAUUCAUGAAUUUUUCAUCACAAACUAUACACAUGAAUAGCUUCCUUGUGUGAUUGAUUAAAGUUCAUAUUCUAAAUACCAGCGAACGGGGUUUGAAGGAAAGCCUUUGCACUAUAUUGAUUAUUCUGUUUUUGAACGCUCAAUUUGAAUAUUGAAAACAAAUCUAAAUAUAGAUAUUUGAAUCCAAAUAUAGAUAUUUGAAUCCAAAGAGAAAAUUAUUAUUAUUACUGAAUUUAAAUCUGAAAACUAAACAAAUAGCCCAUUUUGAUAUCCGAAUCGGACCGUCAUAAAAUUUACAUUCUGAUUCGAUGGGAUGAUAACCCAACCAUUUUCAACCCUAGAAAUUAAGUGUACUAUCUUUUAAUCUUUCCUUAAUUAAAAUAAAUUAAAUUUUAAAAGAUUAAUUGGAUUGUUAAUUUAAAAGUAAAUAUUUAACUUCUUUUCAUGCAAAUAGUAAAGAGGUUUUUCCUACAGAACUUCUACCGGAUUUGUCCCUUUUUUCUUUUUUGACUAGCCCACAUCUCUUUACUUCUAAGAAAUCAUUGUGCUUCGUUACAUACCUACUCCCUAAAAACAAAUCAGAUUUGAAAAAUAAAAUGGUUUAAAAAAAAAAAAAACCUAUCAGGUCGAUAAUUAUUUAAACUCAAAAUUAAAUUAUCUUUUAAAUUUGAUUCACAAAUUUAAAUUUAAAUUCUUGAAAUUAAUAUAAAUUUUUAAAUUUUGGAUAUACAUUAAAAAAAUUAAUAUCAUGGAACAUAUAUAAAAACUCUGUACAGUGUAACUAAAUUAAAAACAGACCUAAAAACAAAUCAAAUUAAAAAUACAUCAAUUAAGAAAAUAGACUCAUACCACCUAUAACAGUUUAAAUAAAAAUUAUAGAGUUUAAAAUUUAUUUUAACUUUAAAUUUAUAAUUAAAUUAAGUUUAAUUUAUAAAUAUUGAUGUAUAUCACCCGUAAAGAUGUUUGUAGACUGGGUUGGGUCUAGAUAGUUGAUAUACUGUAUCCGUACCCUAAAAAGAAAUGGUUACAAAAAAAAAAAAAAAUCCUACCCAUUUAACUUCGGGUCGGAUUCGGAUCUGCGUACGUAAGUUGCUAAUAUAUCCAUCGAGUUUAUUUGAGUGGGUCUGGAUAGUGAUUACUCGUGUACUAUCCGUUCAUGACCGGGUAUGGGUAUCCCUGUAUAUAUAUAUAUAGAGUAGGUCUUGUUUGCUAUUAGGAGCACGGAGGCCUCCGUGCUCCUAAGCCAUUUUUAAUCAUGAAGCUUCCGAAUCGACGAUCGGCUCCGUUAGACUUGAUCUAGCGCAUUUGAAGUAUCUAAAAAAUAAAUUUUGUCAUUUUUCGAUAUCAUUUACCUAGUGAUCGAAAGGGUUUAAAAUCAACGGCUGAAAAUAAAAAUCUCAAAAAAAGUGGUGAUAUAGUACUAAAAUUUUCGAUCAGAGAUAUUGAUCUCGCUAUAAAUAGUAUAAAAAAUUUUCUAUCAGAAUUUUAUUUGAUUUGAAUACUUCUACACCGUUAAACUUACAAAUGGUUUACAUCAACCAUUAAAAAUUGUUGAUUUUGAAUCUUUUGAUCACUAGGUAAAUGAUAUCGAAAAAUGGCAAAAUUUAUUUUCGAGAUACUUCAAAUGCGCUAGAUCAAGUCUAACGGAGCCGAUCGUCGAUUCGGAAGCUUCAUGAUUGAAAACGGCUUAGGAGCACGGAGGCCUCCGUGCUCCUAAUAGCAAACAAGACCUACUCUAUAUAUAUAUAUACAGGGAUACCCAUACCCGGUCAUGAACGGAUAGUACACGAGUAAUCACUAUCCAGACCCACUCAAAUAAACUCGAUGGAUAUAUUAGCAACUUACGUACGCAGAUCCGAAUCCGACCCGAAGUUAAAUGGGUAGGAUUUUUUUUUUUUUUUGUAACCAUUUCUUUUUAGGGUACGGAUACAGUAUAUCAACUAUCUAGACCCAACCCAGUCUACAAACAUCUUUACGGGUGAUAUACAUCAAUAUUUAUAAAUUAAACUUAAUUUAAUUAUAAAUUUAAAGUUAAAAUAAAUUUUAAACUCUAUAAUUUUUAUUUAAACUGUUAUAGGUGGUAUGAGUCUAUUUUCUUAAUUGAUGUAUUUUUAAUUUGAUUUGUUUUUAGGUCUGUUUUUAAUUUAGUUACACUGUACAGAGUUUUUAUAUAUGUUCCAUGAUAUUAAUUUUUUUAAUGUAUAUCCAAAAUUUAAAAAUUUAUAUUAAUUUCAAGAAUUUAAAUUUAAAUUUGUGAAUCAAAUUUAAAAGAUAAUUUAAUUUUGAGUUUAAAUAAUUAUCGACCUGAUAGGUUUUUUUUUUUUUUAAACCAUUUUAUUUUUCAAAUCUGAUUUGUUUUUAGGGAGUAGGUAUGUAACGAAGCACAAUGAUUUCUUAGAAGUAAAGAGAUGUGGGCUAGUCAAAAAAGAAAAAUGGGACAAAUCCGGUAGAAGUUCUGUAGGAAAAACCUCUUUACUAUUUGCAUGAAAAGAAGUUAAAUAUUUACUUUUAAAUUAACAAUCCAAUUAAUCUUUUAAAAUUUAAUUUAUUUUAAUUAAGGAAAGAUUAAAAGAUAGUACACUUAAUUUCUAGGGUUGAAAAUGGUUGGGUUAUCAUCCCAUCGAAUCAGAAUGUAAAUUUUAUGACGGUCCGAUUCGGAUAUCAAAAUGGGCUAUUUGUUUAGUUUUCAGAUUUAAAUUCAGUAAUAAUAAUAAUUUUCUCUUUGGAUUCAAACUUCAAAUAUGAUUUUUCUUUAAAUACGAUUUGGAUUCAAAUAUCUAUAUUUAGAUUUGUUUUCAAUAUUCAAAUUGAGCGUUCAAAAACAGAAUAAUCAAUAUAGUGCAAUGCAAAGGCUUUCCUUCAAACCCCGUUCGUUGGUAUUUAGAAUAAGAACUUUAAUCAAUCACGCAAGGAAGCUAUUCAUGUGUAUAGUUUGUGAUGAAAAUUCAUGAAUAUUUUUAAUUUGUAACUUUGAAUGAGGAGAGAGAUCUAUUAUGCUAUUUGACAAAAUUUGAGAGAUUUAAUUAAUUGCUAAAAUCAAAGUUCAGGUUCUGUUUGCGAAAGUGCUAAGCUCGAGCGCAUGUUUGGUUUAUUUAAAAUGAAUAAAUGAAGCUAAGCCAACCAAAUUAUUUAUGUUUCAUGUUUUAGUUUCAAAUUCAGUGAUCAUCUUAUACUAGUUUAGGGCCCGCGCUUCGCGGCGGAUCAACAUCGGCAACCUAACAUCUCAGUUUAAUUUUCAAUUUAAAAUAAAAAUUUGAAUGAUUUUGAUUUUCUUAGUUGAUUUUUAAAUUAUCUUUCAGAUUUAAAAUUAAAUUGAUGAUUUUUGACAAAUNNNNNNNNNNNNNNNNNNNNNNNNNNNNNNNNNNNNNNNNNNNNNNNNNNNNNNNNNNNNNNNNNNNNNNNNNNNNNNNNNNNNNNNNNNNNNNNNNNNNNNNNNNNNNNNNNNNNNNNNNNNNNNNNNNNNNNNNNNNNNNNNNNNNNNNNNNNNNNNNNNNNNNNNNNNNNNNNNNNNNNNNNNNNNNNNNNNNNNNNNNNNNNNNNNNNNNNNNNNNNNNNNNNNNNNNNNNNNNNNNNNNNNNNNUAUAUUGUAGAUUUUAUUAAAUUAUCUAGACAGAACUUAUUUCGACCAUUAUAUUAACUGAUUAAAGGCCUAAAAUUCAAAAUAAUUUUAUAUGUAAACACAUAAAAAUAAAAAAAUUAUGAUGUCAUAUUAUAGAUAAAGAGAAUAUAAUAGUAAUUACUAAUAUUAUAUACUAAUAUUCAAAAAAAAAGGAAAAAAUAAAGCGGAAUCAGAAAAUUUACUAAAUAGAAUAUUCAUUAAAAAAAACUAGUUUGUCGACUUGAUUGGAGAAGGAAUUUGUAAAAAACUCACUUGUACUCGCCUGCAGAGAAUUAAUAUCGUUGUUGAUGACGACGAUGGAAAUAUUAUUUCACAAAAAACUUUUAGGCAGAAAUGAAACAAAAAAAUAAAGAAUAAAAAACAAAGAGUAAAAAAUUUAGAAAAAAAGAAAGGAGUAAAAGAGCAGCUAGGGUUUCAGUAUUUCACUAGGAUGAAAAUACUUAGAGAUCCCUCGUCUAUAAGUACUAUUAAAAUUGAUCCAUCAACUUCAAAAGUUCCAAUCAUUUUUAUUUACUAUCAAAUAUUCCAUUGGGUUCGGAUCCGGGUUCAGAUUUAAAAACUAUUCCGGACCCUACCCAUUUAAAAGUUGGGCUCGGGUUGGGUCCACAUCAGGUAUGAAUAUAAAAUAUCCGGACCCAUAUCCAAAACUUUAAUGGGUAAUUUUUUUUAUCCAUAUACUAUUCAUUUUUUAUCGGGUCCAGGCCGGGUAGGGUCCGGGUCGGGUAUCGGUUAUCUCGAAAUAUUUUGGAACAGCUUAAUCCUCGAUGCACUAGAUAAACAAAUAUAAUAAUAAUAUAUAUAUAUAUAUAUAUAUAUUAUAUAUAUAUAUCAUAUAUAUAUAUAUAGAAUUAGCACGUACUAUACUAUAAUGCAUUAAGCGCUAUGUUGCUAUUAUAUUUUUGGCCUUUUGGUCGUGAAGACAAUGUAUGCGUUAAUGGAUGUGUGGAUUCUCUUAAAGUUGAUGUGUGAUGCGUUGGUUGAAUAAUAUGACUCGUAACAGAAUUGAAAAUAGUUAAAAAGGGUAGAUUCCUAACGGUGAAACGGUAAAAACUUCGGACAUCGCCGAAAGACAGCGCGUUCUCCUCUCACUACCAAAUGGCUUUGGGAUUCUCACUAUCAUUCAUCGCUUGAUCUUCGAGUAGCAGACUGCAUAUAUAUCUAUCCCUACUAUAUUAAAACGUUAUAGGAUUUCUUACCAUGAAUCAAAAAGGAAUUAAAAAAAUUUUCUACAAAUGGUUUUGAUCAAUUUGUUAAAAAAUUUAUCAAAUAAGAAUGAACAUUAUGAUCAAUCUGUUAAAAAAUAGUAUUCCUAUCUAUCUAUAUAUUCAAUCCUACAAAUGGUUAUGAUUAAUUUAUUAAAAAAUAUCUCAAAUAAAAAUGAAUGAUUAUAAUCAAUCUAUUAAAAAAUAGCAUUCCUCUCCUUACAUUUUAUACUAAAAUUAAAAUUUAAGUUUAAGUUUAAAUCAUGAAUUAAAUUUCAUUUUGGAUAUCAAAUUUGAAUUAAUAAUUAAAAAAAUUAAUUACAUGGAUAAAGAUUAAAUUUUAACAAAUUUAAAUUUAUAAAUUUUGGAUAUAAAAUUUGAAUUAACAAUUAAAAUAUUUAAUUACAGUAAAUCAAAAUUAUAUUUUAAAUUUUAAAGUAAAUGUGAAUUAAAUUUUGACACUUUUAUUUAAACUACAUAAUUAAAUUUUAAAUUUAUCAGAAUUUAAAAAAUAUAUAAAAAAUAAUACAGGAUAUUGCAAUUUUUUUCUAAUAAAAUAUAAUUUAUGAAUUUAUAAAAUAUAAUUUUUAUUAUAAAUUUUUAGAUAAAUAUAAUGUAAAAUAACUAUUACGUGCAUUUAUAUGUACACUCAACGAUAUCUAUAUAUAUAGCUAGGGCUACUAUAUUUUUAUGAGUAUAGCCCCUCUGUACUCAUUAGUUUUCGGCCGUUGGAUGAAGGGAUGUGUGGUUAGUAUGACAGUAGUCUUCAGUUACGUUGAUAGUGGUCCACUAGGGUUGAGUGGGUGGUUGGUUGAAUAGUAUGAUUUAACACGUGAAAAUGGUCAAAAGGUAGAUCUAACGGCGGAAAACUUAUGAGUACAAGUAGGCCUAUAUACUCAUAAAAGUAUAGUAGCCGGACUAUAUAUAUAUAUAGCUGAGCUAGAAUACUAUCGAUAGCAAACGGGCUCCGUUGCCACCCAUUUGUUUUCGAUGAUGGAGUCUCCAAAUCGACGAUCGGCACUGUUGAACAUGAUCUAUACCACUGGAAGUGUUUAGAAAUCAAAUUUCAUAUAUUUUUGAUAUUGUUCUCUUAUUUAUCGAGUGGACACAAAAAUGAAAGGCUGAAAAUGAAUAUUCUUUAAAAAAUGAUGAUAGGAGUCUUGUAAUCAAUAUCAAGAGUAUAGAUCUUGUUUUAAAUAGUUUAAAGAAUUUUCUAACAAAAAUUUAAUUGAUUUGGAUAUCUUUACGCCGUUAAACGAGAAAACGCCUCAUAUCAACCAUUAAAAUUACAAAUUUCGAAACCCUUUGAUUAUUAGGCAAAUGAUGUGGAAAAGAUUUGAAAUUUGAUUUCUAAACACUUUAAGUGAUAUAGAUCAUGUUCAACGGUGCCGAUCGUCGAUUUGAAGGCUUUAUCAUCGAAAACAAAUGGUUGGCCAAUGGAGACCGUUUGCUAUCGAUAGUAUUCUAGCUCAACUCUAAUAGUACAGUAGCCCUACUAUAUAUAUAUAUAUAUAGGGUCCGGCUACUAUCCUAUUAAUAGGAUUGGGACCCUUGUCCUUUCAAGUCGAUUUGAAUGAUCCGAACUUCAAAUUAAUAAUCGGCACCGUUGAAGUUGAUCUACACAAUUAGAAAUGUUUAGAAACCAAAUUUUGUAUUAUUUAAAAAUCAUUAUCAAGUUCAUCUUAAGAGUUGAAAAAUGAACGGUCAUAAAUGAAUAACCUUCUUAAAAUAGAGGUUAGACUUUCUCAGUUCGUACUCAGAGUUAUCAAACAUUAUCUAAAUAGUAUAAAGAAUUUUUAAUCAAAAAUUCAAGCAAUUUGGAUUGCUCUACACCGUUAAACAAGCAAACGGCUCAUAUAGGCCGUCAAAAAUUGUCGAUUUUACGACACUUUGAUCACCAUGUAAACCAUUAUCAAAAUUUAUGAAAUUUGUUAGUUUCUAGAAUUUAAAACUACUCUAAUCAACUUCAACGGCCUGCCGAUCAUCGAUUCGGAAAUAUCGAUCAUCAAACAACUUAAUAGACAACUGCUCCUAUACCUAUUAAAGAUCGAGCAUUAGCCUCUAGAGAGAGUAAUAUAUAUAUAUAUAUAUAUAUAUAGGUCCGCUACUAUACUAUUAUGAUAACGAUCGCGCCCUCGACUCAUAACUUGUUUAUCGAUAAGAAGUUCCGAAUCGACGAUCCACACCGUAAAUCGUUAUUUUACACAUUUAAAACUCUAGAAAUCAAAAUUUUCACUAAUUUUUCGACAUCAAUUUACGCUUACGAUCAAGAGGUCACAAAUUUGACAAUUUUUUAAACCCGGCCUAGUAUGGAUAAACUUGCUAACUUUAACUGUAAAAGAUAGAAUUUCUUGUAACAACCUGGACUUCUAAAGUUAUGAAAUACGUGUAGGUUGGCUCGGAAAACUAUUUGAAGAGUUCCGGUGAGAAAGUUCGGUGAAGUUCGGAAGCUUUCCGGCGUUUCGUGGCAGUAGGCGCGAAAAAGUAACCCGAAAGCUAUGUGGGCACCGGAAGCUACAGAUUUCGACAUAUCUGUGGAUAAAAAUGAGAGACAUGUUCGAACAUGUUUGAGAAAUGGUAACAUAUAGACACCGCAGAAGGAAUCGAGCGGAACUUUAGCGAAAUUGGCUUAAAAGCAUAGCGAAAGAAUGAAUGAAUGGAGUUCAUUAACGUCCAAUCAAGGUGAAGGUUAAGAAGAUCUUACAUAAAGUUAGAAAGUUUUUAGCAGUUUGUCCGGAUGCAUGAAUACGAGUCGAAAAAAGCUAAAAAGCCCCAGUCUGGACCAUAUUACCCUGUACAGCAGUUGAUGUUGUAUGCGGUAACAUACAAGCGAGCCCGAAAAGAAGGCAACUCUCGACAGUUGGAGUGAAAAAAGAGACUGUUACACCGGUGACACGAAAGUGACCGUACCUUUGCAAACUGACAAAGAUUUGGUCUGCUGCAAUUUACCAUUGAUUGGAGGGGAUUUAUUUGCAAUUGUACCUACAACUAAAAUCCCUAAACCCCUCCCUCACAGCAGAUCUCCUCUCCCUCUCUCUCCUCUCGUGUCUCUCCCUCUCCCUCUCAACCGAUUGCAAGACAAGGAGAAGCGAAAAGAAGAACAAGAAAGAAAAAAAAAGAAGAAAAAGAAGAAAAUGAUCGAGAAGCAGAACGCUUACCUCCCAUCUUCAUCUCUCAUGCUGGAGGAGCUUGAGAUGUAAACCAUUUUCCUCUCAUGGGCGGAUAAGUUAGGGUUGGUUUUUUAAACCCUAAUACCUGAGAUUUGGAGCUUCUCAAGAUGUUUAAACGCAUUGGAGAGCCAAGAAUCACAUGAAAUCCAUGAUUCCUCAAAAGGCUCUAAUCGUGAAACCCUAGAGUUGUUUUAAAACAUGCCCUAGGAUGAUUCUAAUUAACGGAAGUAAUUUAGAAACUUCUUGGGUGAUCAAGCUCGAUUAUGCAUAGCAUCAUGACAUCAAUCCCAAGAAAUUGAUUACGGAGCAUUUAUGUUAGGGCACCGAAAAUGGGUCUUUUUGCCUCCGGGUUUUAAAGGCAAAUUGUCCUGAGGAAACCAAAAUUGGCACCUAACAACAGCGUUGACACCGCUCAGCGGCAAUCCACCGACGAGCGUAACGCGAAGUUAUUGAGCCGAAACGGUCGUUUUGAUACAGAUAGCCCGCAGCAACGCGACAUAACGGUCAAAAAUCACUGAAGAUCGGAACUAGAACUUGAUCCCAAGGAAUAAACCCGGAAAAGACGGAUCGCGUCGGAGGUCGUUUGGCAAGCGCGGCAAGAUUCGGGAAGGCCAAAACCAGAGUGUGGGCAAGCGUUGCCGCCCAAGGCCGAAUUGACAAGAACUACCAACAAUCGACGCGCGUGUUAUUAAGGUAGUGUUUAACCGAAACGCACUAGAUCGAAGUGCCUUUAGUCUAAAUUCCUAAGUAAGACUUCAAGUUGAUGCAUUUAUGAUACGGCAUAGCAUGAUCGCUAAUACGAAAAUUCAUAAUACAUGAAUAGGAUGCUAAAAGGUUGAUACAUAUAGAAUGUAAAGUGAACGCAACUGUAAAGAGCCUGGACUAAAUAAUAAACAUGUUGAGAGCGUGAGUAAAUGCUACAUAUAAAUGGCAAAUAUGCGAAAAAACUUAAUAAAUCUAGGAUAAUAUGUGACAUCAUUCAAGAAUAAGAUUAUAAAAAUGCAAAUCCAUAUUCGAUGACAUAAGUUACAAUGAUGAUAAUAGAAAGGCAUCGAGUAACACAUCAGAGAGAGAGAGCAUAAUGCUAACAAUAAUUAAUAGAAAGCAGAGGGCAUAAGUGAUAAAGGAGAAAAUGCAUGUUGAGACACUUGUGGAGACAUUAAAAUAUGCUAAUAAACAACCUAAGUUAACUAAACCCCUAAGAAUGACAUAAAUAAAUAAGCAUAGCUAAAGUAGAUAGAUGAUAUAAAGCAAUCACGCCAAUGCAAAAAACAAGCAUAAAAUAUGCAAGUAAGUGCAGAAAAUGCUAAAGAUAAGGAUUAUGUAGUGACUGAAAUAGAACACCUAUAGAAUACGCACGUAAGACAUAUAUACACCACUAAGUCUUUGGACAUUGUAGGUUAAAUAAGAAGAUCAAAAAACCUAAAAUUACAAAAGAACAAAAGGUUGUGGAAAAUGAAGAAGUAUGCUUAAACCAUACAGUCCAAAGGGAAACCCAGGUUGAAAAGAAAUCCAUAUCCUAAGUGUAAAUAAACCCUACGCAAACAAUGUAAAGCAAUAAAAUACAAAGUAAAUAACAUAUUGUGAUAAAAGGAUGAGAACCUAGAGUCAAUAUGACCUUAGGAGAUAAAGGCUUAGUACCUAGAGAGUACAGAAUUCCAAUAGGUUAAGACCAACCUUGUAAUGGAAUGGAAUUCCGGAAAUCCCAAAGCUUGCUUGAUGCAUCCCAAAGGGUGGUGGGUGUGUGCGACGAUUCGCCGCCGCAGGGCUAGAAACCCUUGCUAGGGCUGUUACGAACGAUUUGCGCGGCGAGGACUGGUUAGCCAGGUUUGGACCGCGGUACCGCCGUUGACUAACCACUUGCCCGUAGGAGCCUGCGUGAUCGACGAUUUCGCCGCCCAGAGGUGACAAGUCAUUGAACGCUAGGCACGUUUUGGAUAGGUGUCAGUUCGUUGCGGCCCGCCAGAAAAAGACACGCUAUGGACAAGAGAAGAUAAAAGGUUAGCCACCCCACUUGUGCCAGCUGAUGGGCUGCAUGUGAGCAGCUCUUCAACCUCGAGCAAGACAGCGCGGACAUAACGCGAAAAUUACGCAUGAACACCUCCACUAAGACAAAAAGAAGUCAGGGAUGCCCUAAAUAAGACUGGCUAAGAAUACAACGGACCUUCAGAAGUAGAAUGCCAAGCUAAAAAGAAAUAGCAAUCGUUCAACGAGUCGUUAAGAGAAAAAUAAGCUAAAUAACAAGAAUAGCUAAAAGAAAACGUCUCAAGAAAGGAAUAAAUAAGAGCUAAAAGUAAGCAUUAAUGGCCAAAGAGUAAAUAAUGCAUAAUGAACAUAAUAUGUUAAAAGUAAGACUACUCAUGAUUCCAGAAUAUUGCAUAUAUGCAAUCGGAGGCAGACAUGUAUUUCAAUUGAAUACUAAUAUCUGUUGUACUAUUGUUGACUCAACAUGUUGGGCAACAAAGUGGAGCUCUAAGAACUGUUGCAUGAGCUGUUCUAUCAUUGGGUGCUAAACCCCAACUGCACGGACUAGGACACUCACCCCAGGUUCUGCUUGGGGGUAUAGUACCACGUGUCCGGCCGGCGUCUAGGCAAGGAAUGUUAGUUCUCAGAUAGCGGAUCUCUAUUUAUACCCAGAGACGAGAUACAUACCAGGAGUGCUAGUUGGGAAGGUUUAAAAGACAAUAACAAACUUUGUUUUAAGUUAUUAAAAGAAUGAAUAAUUAUCGUUGUCAUUUGAGGUAAUGAACAAGAAAAAUUAUUUUGUAAAAAUCAUCUAAAAUUGAAUGCCGUACAUACACUUAGUAGUAUUAUGUUUCAUCACUAUCUUAUGCAAUCUGUUGAAAUGAAUACUGUCCUAUUGGAACCUCUCGUAUUGUUUUGAAUCGCGACCCUAACGUACAGGAAAACUCUCGUCCGUUCGGACGGUGGCGCAGCAGACUCAGACACGGCGCCAAAUAAGCGAUCCGGCCAAAUGGGCGGGUGCGUCGGGUCGGACAAAUUUGUUGAAUUUUACAGAAAAUUCAUUCACUACACUAAUAAAGUUCAAAAACUCCGAUCUUGAUAUCUGAAACGAUCCGAUCAUGCUUCCUUUAUAGACCGUUCCGAUUUUGACCGUCAUAUUUAUGGCCCACUUGAGGACUUAUAUGAUUUCGAAAAUACAAAAUUCUAUUUUCUAAAGUUCAAAUAUCUAGAUUAUUCGGAGUGGAUCGUGAUUCGGCAAGCUUCCACUCAUUUAAACCAACUUAUAGCACGAGGGCCCAAUACUCAUAAUACUAUAUGUACCAUGGCCUAUAUAUUUCAAAUACUUAGAUCAACUUCAACGCUCCGAUCAUCGAUUCAAUCACGAUCAUUUCAAGAACUAUUGGAAUAGGGACACAAUGUCUCCUAUCCUAUUAAUAUAAGUAAACUUUACCCUAUAUAUAUAUUAUAGUAAAUAUAUAUAUAUAUAUAUAUAUAUAUAUAAUAUACUAGGUCCGGUAGGCUGCUAUUCUAUUAAAAGAAUUGGAUCCACCGAUGUCCCUAAUCCAAGCUACGUUUUGAAGCGAUCUGAAACUUCAAAUGAAUAAUCAGCAGCCGUUUAAGCUGAUCUACCACAAUUAGAAAAUAUUAGAAAACACAAAAUUUUAAAUAUUAAAAUUAUUAUCAAGUUCAUUCUAAGUUUUGAAAAAUGAACCGCAUAAAUGUAAUAAUCCCUAAAAUAGAGUGACUUUCUCAAUUCAUAAUCAGAGUUAUCAAUGACAGGACUGAAUUUUGACAGUGCAACUACAAACUCUCUGUUGACGAUGUUUAUGCGGGGGCGGGGUAAUUUAAUUACAUAAGCACCUGCGUGAAGUUUUAGAACACGAAACUGAAUCUAAAAAGGAGACGAUACGGCUACGAAUUUUUAGAUUUCACUAGGCAUGAAUAGUAACAUUUAGGAAUAAUCAGAAAUCGUUUAAACACGAGGAUAACCACGGUACACCAGUUGCUCUGGUCGCUAUCGACCCUUCAUAUCAUCCAAUAAGCUCGUUUCAAGCCAGCUUCAUUGUUCUCUGGAAACUACCGGCGGACGGCAUUUGAGAGUUUAGAGAAUGACACACAAUGGUGUGCGCACGAAAAGCAAAAUACAUGUUUUAUAUGUAAUUGUAAUGUGUGAUAUUCAUUCUGCUGUUGGAAGAAAGUUAGAUUUCGAUCGCGACAACCGUGGAGUCGAUUCAUGAUGAACCAAAAAUCGUAGAUUUGCCCAUCGGUCUGACGCAUUGGUAGCAAUCCUUCGCUAAAUCUGACUACGGAACUGGUCGCAAAAUCACGAUCAACCACGAACGCGUUGCUCGAGGAAGUCGGUGAUCGACAAAAUGAUAUUUUUUUCAUAGGACCAAAUCAAUUUUUUUUUUUUUUUUUUUUUUUUUUUUUUUUUUUUUUUUUUUAAUUUAUGUAUCGAAUUGCGUGAAUCAACAUCAUCACGGAGUACAUACGCCGAAACGCGACANNNNNNNNNNNNNNNNNNNNNNNNNAUAUAUAUAUAUAUAUAUAUAUAUAUAUAGAAUUAGACUACUAUACUAUUAAUAGCAUUAAGCGCUUGUUGCUAUUAUAUUUUUGGCCUUUGGGUGAAGAAAUGUAUGGUUAGGAUGAUAGUGAUCCUUUAAAGUUGAGUGGAUGGUUGGUUGAAUAAUAUGAUGUAACAGAUGGAAAUAGUUAAAAGGGUAAAUCUAACGGUGAAAAACUCCAUAUAUAGUACCAAAUGCUUGGUACAAUUGAUAAUAUAGUAGCCAGACUCUAUAUAUCUAUACUAUAUAUUAAAGUUAAUAGGAUUUCUUACCAUGAAUCAAAAAGGAAUUAAAAAAAUUUUCUACAAAUGGUUUUGAUCAAUUUGUUAAAAAAUUUAUCAAACAAGAAUGAACAUUAUGAUCAAUCUGUUAAAAAAUAGUAUUCCUNNNNNNNNNNNNNNNNNNNNNNNNNNNNNNNNNNNNNNNNNNNNNNNNNNNNNNNNNNNNNNNNNNNNNNNNNNNNNNNNNNNNNNNNNNNNNNNNNNNNGUAUAAACUAGACUACAAACUAUUCGACGUAACAAAUUGGCAAAUAAUGGUCAAUUUGAUCAUUUCUUUUCUUCGUCCACUUGACGAUGAAUUCACUGAUGAAUCAUCGCUACGUUUAUUGCUUGCAUAGCCUUUUGUCUAACCGUCUUUAAGAACAAUCCUCGGUCGCAAUGUGCCGUUAACCUUUCUUAGCAUUAUCUCCUGACCUCGUAUAUUAUUCUCUAUCCUGUUUAUUGCCUUUCUUUGAAUCUUUUGGCAACUUUCCGAGUCCCGUAAAUGUAGAAAUGUAAUAGUAUAAAAAAAUGCUGCGCCGGAGACGAUAAAGCCUUGCUAUAGUUUAUCUCUUCUUCGAAAUUCCGUGACGUUUGGGGGUCUGAGGCGGAACACCGACGUAUCUUCGUAUAGAAAUGCGGCAAUCCUGGUGUUGCAAGAGUCCCAAUUGAAAAUGAUCUGCCGGCGAAGGCUCGCCUGUCGAGUCGUCACCUUCCUCAUUGCUUUUGGCGAGAUUUCAGAUUCGGCAACACCGCCUGUGCUCUUAGAAGAAGACCUUGGAUAGCGGAAUAAUUAGUUCCAUAAGUAGGAAAGUCAAUUUUCGUAAGUUGUCAAAUCACCUUUGAGUGCCUACACUAAUGCUUGCUGUAUCUUCUUCAUCUCCGCUCCGGUGCAUUGCGGUAGCCGGAUAUUGUGCGAGCCGGGAGGUUGUGCCGAUUCGGUGAGUCAUGGCGGUUCGUUACUUGAGUCCCGAGAAAUAGUCCUUCUCUAGAACCGACCCGUUCGUACCCAUGUAAUAAUUUGAUAUACUCGUAACAACUCUCAGAAUUCCUGUAAGUGUACGUUCUCGUAUGCCAAAUUAGCGCACAUGUAUCACAUGACUAGCUGAUGCCAAUAUAGUAAUAGUAAAAAUUUAUGAUCCUCCAUACGAUAUCAAAAUCAAAUUGACCUAAUGCCACAUUGGAUGCAAUAAAAAUAAAUCAAGAAAUAAAAGCACAGUCCUGUUGCUGUGCGGCCCUGUUGGACGAGAUUUACGGGGAAAACUCCAAAACUGAGAAAACCGACGGUACCAAACCGACAAAAUGUAUUUCACUAAGGAGAAAGAGAGAAUUAUGCAAGUGCAUUACCGAUCGGGGUGGUGUUUGACCCACGUCGACUCUCUCGCGUAACCUCUAUGAACUCUUGCGCAUCUCUGCCUGUGCCAUUGCCUACUUCGAUCCACGAACUUUCCUCACACUCGAAUCCAACCCAAGCUUCAAAUCACGUAUGAGACCGAAUCCACAAACGCCACUGUCCACUCAAUUACGACCCACAUCCGAAUCCACGAACUCGCCUUAAUCUCGCCGAAUCCACACAUCGUUCAUGAAGAACAUCCAAUUAUGUGAUUCCUUCGCUUAGAAGUUAUAGGUAUAACCAGGGAAUAGAACUCCUACAGCGAAGCGGGAGAUCAAUCGACAUAUAAAAUCGAAACAUAUCCGAUUUAGUCAAAGAUGUCUAAUUUGUAAAAAUAUGUUUAGAAUAAAACAUUGCGAAUCCUAUGGUUUCUGCAACAUUAGUAUUUAUAUGACUAAUCAGUUAAGAGAACCCCUAUAGCUUAUAUAUAUACUUUACGAAUCAAAACGAGUAGGAUCAGAUAAGUUUCUUUCCAAAACACACCAUGUACCGGAACAAGUAAAGCGUCCAGGGUACCAGACAUGAACGGAAAUCACAUGCGAAGCUGCUGUACCUGACCAGACUCGGCAUCUUGUACCAAACAGGCUGUACCCUGAACAGCCCUUGAUUAUUGUCCCGGAUACAUACAUCAACUUUUCUGUACAAACGCGAUAGGCGUACCCUGACAAAAACUCUUUUAUGCGUACAACAACUCAUUCGCUGAAAAUCAUUGUCGAAUUGUUUCGAGUUUUACAAGCUCUUAGAAACUUUCUAAUCAAUUACAACUUGAAAACAUGAUUCUAAAAUCUAUAAUUAAGUAUGAAUCACCAUAAACAAGAUUUAAAGCUUACCUAAGCAUCGUGAUUCAUGUUUUACAUGUUUUGCGUCCUUUCUGAUUCUUCGAAGUCUUGGAUUCUUCGAUCUUCAAUACUCCGCUCCGGACUUCUUCAAGACUCCGACUCGGCCGACGAAACUUGCCAACACAUAGGACCUAACACAAUCCAUGCCUAAAAUGACGUCGUACGCCUCCAGUUUAACGAGUUCUAACAUCCGGAUGGGCAUUAUCCAAUCACCCACUUGCACCGGACACGACGAGCACUCCGUGUAGGUGUUAAAUGACGAGUCGGGACCUUCGACUCGCCACUUGCCACUUGCUUCAAUGGGUAUGUCAUGCAUGCGUGCAAAUGCUCUACUAAUAAACGAAUGCGUGGCACCCGUAUCGAACAUAGCUCUGGAGGGAACUCCAUGGAUUAGAACCAUACCUGCCACAACAUCAGGCUCUUCAGCUUGGAUAGGCUCCUCGGCUUGGGCCUGAGCGGCGAACACCUAUCCGCUCGGCGCUGAUCGAGUCACCUCCGGUUGGCGUGGUGCCAGUGCACGCCCUGCUGACACAGGGACAUAUGGGGCCCCUUCCUGAUAAGGCGGGGGCGCUGGAGUCGAUGCGACUAACGGAGUAGACGAGGCCCUUGCCGGACAGUCGCGGCUGAUGUGUCCCUCUUGUCCACAAUUAAAGCACCUUCCCUGUCGCUGUCUACACUGCGGUGCCCGAUGGCCUCUAUCUCCUCAGAUAGGGCACCGCUGUGGCCCACGGCCCCACGACUGCGACCGCGGAUGCUUCGGGGGCCUCCUCGAACUAGAUUGUCCCCCCGAACCGCCACCCGAUCGCUUCUUCCCCUUGUCUUGGGAUCCGGCCAACAACUCGCGUUCCUCCCGCACGUGGGCAUCUCCAUGCUCUGCCCACAGCGCCUUGUUGAAAACCUCGGUGAAAGUCGUGAGCUGGAACAAUUGCACUGCCCGAUAUAUCCACGGCCGGAGUCCCCGCAAGAACCACUCGGCUCGAUCCGCGUCAUCCUUAACAACGUCCGGGACGCAAUCUAUGAUAUGGGAGAACUUCUGCUCAUAGUCCACCACCGAACGGUCUCCCUAUCUCAAUUUGCGAAACCUCUCCUUCAACUUCCGCUUCUCGGUGUCGGGGAAGUAAUUUCUGAACAUCUCCUUCUUAAACUCCUCCCAAAGCAUUGGUGGAAGGUCAGAGGGUCGAUCCUGCUUCAACCUCUUCCACCAUACCUUCGCCGCCUUUUCAAGACAAUGGGUGGCGAGGGGCACCUUAUCCUUCUCCGGGGUAUAUAGGUCCUCGAAGAGGGUCUCCAUAGAGUCAAUCCAAGACUCCACCACCGGCGGCUCCACCUUUUCCCCUUCAAAAGUUGGUGGUUUAAACUUCAUGAACUUCAUCAGAGUCGUCAGCGCACGUUCCCACUCCACUUCGUCGGCCGUCGUAUCAAGUGUCGCCGAACCCGAAGCUGUCGGAGGCGCACUUGUCUGCUGCCGCCAUCGGAACUGCCGCUAUGCCCUCACCCUCGACCGCUACCGGCGUGCGCGCCGAAGGUGCGGGCGGAUCGCGAUCUCUUGCCGCUGUCGCGGCCGCCGCCGCUGCCGCUUGCCGCUCCACGACUUCCUGGACCUGCUCGAACCGAGCCUCCUGGCGCUGCAUCGCGCCCAACAUCGCAGCGACCUGCUCCCGCAGCUCCUGCACCUUCUCCGAUCUUGGCUGCUCGGGCUCCGCAGAAGGCGAUACCGGAGCAGACCUGCGUACGUAACGCCUUGGGGACAUUUGCUCCUAAAAAGCAACAACUCAAUUAGUUAUCUUAACCUGAUAACUUUUUAACGUUCGCGAAACGAAACAACUCAAUAAUGAAAUCGGGCGGAAGCUCGCAAGUGCUCUAGUGUUGGACUCUUAGUGUUGCGUCGUCGGGCGCCGACACAACCACUACAAGCCAAGAAACUAGUGUCACUUGGAUCCGUCUCUAUUCACAGCUAGAGACAUGACACCAACUUCGACCCAAUCAAUCAACUUCCGCCACCGUCAAUGGCGUUCUACGUUCACCUCACUCGUCCCUCAUAACCUAGGGUUUACCAUACGGGUCUCCUAAGGUCAUCCUAGACUCUCUCCUUUACUUUCAUCUGUAUCUUUAUACCACUUUAUCUGUCCACCCCCAAGACCCGCUACCAUUUGGUUUGGCCCCCGGCGCGUCGAACAGACGACCGAAACGGACAGGACCUCCCCCUGUCGCCCAAUGGCUAGCCAACAAGAUCAUGUAUAAAAUUCCAGGAAUCAAUUCAAAAUACACUGAUCAAGAAGCAGCCACCAGUACAACAACCAAAACAAGAUACAAUAAUUUAAACCAUAUAGAAGUACAUAAAAGAGAAGGUUAUCUAUUACAUCAUUCAACUUAGUAAUUUGAACUCAACUUUUACAUUCUUCCAAAAAUAUAAAUACACCACUCCAAACCUCACCCUAUACAUGCAUUCUACUCUCAUAAUAUAAAAUUAAGGGUAGAGCAAUAAUACAAAAGGGUAGGCUGGCUAAUGUCAACUAGGGCGGCGGGCCCUUACCGCGAUCCUCACGCUCCGCCCGAGACAGCCGAACUCGACCUGUAAAAAGUUGGGUGAGAACUAACUUCCUUAGUUCCCAGUGGGUUCGGCCGCCGACUCCGCCGGUCUCCCCACUAGGUCCAAGUGGGCACAGGUAGAUAAACAGAUAGAUAGAUAUGGAAAGCUGUAGAAGCAGAUAGAAAACUACUCUACUAUGCUUGAAUCAUAAACAUAUGGAUGCAUGUACAAUGAAGUGGUAAGCGACUAACCCGUCAGCAUGUCCAAAAGUAAAGCUAUGCACUUAUUCAUCAAUCUCGUUUACUUGUUUCUUAAUCUCGUGGCUUCUCUGAAAGCUUGCCUACUGCUCACUAGCCAUCUCGAAGGUAGGGAGGGUCAACUCGCACUACAAACUGAGACCGUCUGCCGGGACCCAAAAUAGGCAAUCCCUUGGGACCCAAAAUAGGCAAUCCCACGUGACCAACUCCGGAGCGCACUUCUUGUGUGGGGCUUCCAUCACAAGCUAAAACAGACCGUGAGCAUGAUCCAAUUCUCUCCACUCUAGGGUUACUACCAUCAUGUGGUCCAUAGGCAUCGUAUACACCAAGUUCAACAUGUAUUACUUGUUUUCUUAUACACUAUCAACUAGACUGCCACUCGUCCAUUGUUUACUAUCGAGUAGAUGCCACUCGUCCAUUGUUUACUAUCGACUAGAUGCCACUCGUUCUUUGUUUAACAUUAGACCAACCAUUGAGCCCAUCUCUUUCUCUGCACUAUAGGAUUCACAAGUCUCGACCCAAUCCUUAUCGAUCCACUAUAUCAAGUAUCCAAUACAUGUUACGAUAUCAUCAAGGAAAGCAUAAGGAAAGGCAAUGCACAAUCAUCCUAUAAUGCAAUAAUAUAAGAUGCAAGAAUCGAAAUGUACUAAGACAUAGAAGGGGGCCCAGUUGCUUCGGGAUGGUCACCACCCACCUCUUGGUGAUGCCGCGAUGAUAGAAAACUUGACGUCGCGGUUCUUGCACGUCGCCCUAGCUCCUCGGGGCGAAGAGAGCCCUCAAGUACCCGCUCGGCGAUUUCUCCGCACCUGCUCGUCGGAUCGAGAAACUGACUUCGCCAACGCGUUCCGGGACCUAGCAAUUAGGUUUGUGACCUAUUAAAUUAGACCAAAACCCUAGAUUUCCAAAAUCCUAAUUUCGUGCCCUAGAAUGGCAACGGGGAAGAAAUCCGUGGUGCGAGCUUCAAUUGCGAGCCCGAACCAUCUAUUUAUCUCCUCUAGGUUCCAUUCGAACCAAUUCUAAACAAUAAAACCCAAUCCUAAGAAAUCCACCAUGGAUGGGUUUGGAGCUUACCUCUAAGCCAAGCUCCAAGCUUGCCCUAGCUUGAAGGAGAGAGGGAAGAAGACCUUCUUCUUCUUCUUUUGGACUUCUCCUUCCACUUCUUUUUCUUUGCCUUCCUCUCUUUCUCCUCCUUCUUCUUCUCCUUCUUUUCUUUCUAGAGAGAGAGAGGGAAAAAGUGUGAGAUGGAGAGAGAGCAAAUGAGAGCGGAAGAGGGGUUCCCCAGCCUCUAAUAAAGGCCAUUUUGCAAAUAGCCCCUCCAACUUUUCAUCUUCAGAAUCAGCCCUCUCUGGGCAUUUUCGUAGUGAGUGAUCGGUCCCAGCUCGAGGAGACCGGUCCCCGAAAGCUGCAAUUCCGAGCAGAGGGGAUUUCGCGUUCGGGAACCGGUCCUUGCCUGAGAGACCGGUCCCCGGGAGACCGGUCCUUGUCCGAGAGACCGGUUCCCGAAAGUUGGAUUCUCGGGACUUAGCCAAAUUUUGGCUAUUCUCGCUGGGCUGACGUUCGGGAACCGGUCUGUCACGCCCCGGGACCGGCGAAGGCCCUCCCGGUAGCGCGCCCAAACCGGCCGUAUGUCUACACAUAUAAGGCGUCUACAACAAAAGCGGAAGUAAAGCAAGAAGUAGAACAAAUAGCAUAGUGAUAACUAAUGAUAUCAGAGCGAGUAAAGUUCUAUCAUCUAAACCAGAGUAAAAGAAACAUAACUAAACAAUAAAAGUAGCCAUAAAGUAGUACAAUACUAUCUCCUCAAAAGAAAAAUAAAGAUCCAAAAGAAGGGUGGUCUCUAUACAUAAACGGGUACAACUCACAACCUCUCACAAAAUAAAACCACGAGAGAUAGACCACCUAUCAAAUCGUCCUCGAAAGAAGCUAGCUCGAAGCAACUCCCUUCCCGCGGUCCCUAGCCUCUCCCGGCGUGGAAGGCUCUGAAAGAAAACAUAAAACAGAGGGCGUGAGAACUAUAAUUUGUAGUUCCCAGUAGGCAAUUACUGACCUUAGCUCAUUGCACCGCUAGGCCCAAAAGAAAAGGGAUAAGUAACGACAAAUAGUGAUAAGCGAUAAUUGGCGAGUAUAAAAACUGUUGAAAGGAAGCAUGAAUGAAAUGCUAUACUACUAUGUCUCCAAUAAGCAUGAUGUCAUGGUGAUGUACAUCUACGCUAUCAUAAAGUAAUAUAUCCAAUGCAUACUAAUAUACCUCAACAUGAUGAACAAGUAAACCUCACAAUACAAUAUGUCAAAACAUAAGGAGUAAGUUCUAUCAAGACAACCCAGUAUAUUAUGAUGCACUGCAUGAAACCGGCAAGUGUACUAUAUACCCCAAUGCUAUAUCAUGAGCAUGUUAAGUAAUCCAACUACUAAGCCUAUCUAGUAGUGAUUAUUCAUCCUCAACACUGUGUCGAUUUUCUUUUCCAAUCAAGGACCUACCAAAGGUAGUCCAGCUUGUGCCGCCUAAGUGCCUGUGGUAGCCCAACAUCCCUACUCUUGGAAUGUGUCUGUCCUACUCGACCCCGUAUGCUUCUCAAUACCGCACGAGCGAACAUAGGCGUAGGCUAACUCCGGAGUGCCGACUUGUACGGAGCGACCCUCACAAGCAUGUGUGAAUGAGCACAAAUGGCAAGCAAGCAAGGUCAAAGUCUCAAGUGCUCUACUCUCAUGCCUCUCACAUUGCAAGGCCACUAGCAUCCCAAGGAUCUAGUCCAAAAUCUCAAAGUGACGCUCCAACGCACACACUUGCUUAGUGCCUCUUUACGACACUUAAACAUCACAACUAAUCAUGCCUAAUUCAUGUUCCAUAUUCCAAUUAAAACAAUACUAGCUAGGUUCACUUUAGCCCGGGCCCAAUGACUCUUUAUGACAUUGGCCCAAUCUCUCAAAUAGUCUAAGUCCUCAAGCCUCUCUAGGCUUCCAAAAAUUUCUAAUGUCAUAAGUGGCAAAUAAGCUAAAUGCAUGAAAGCAAGGUCCAUUUUCAUAAUAGGGAUCUUAGUUUCAGUCUCAACCAGAAUGCUAUAUCACACAUGUAUGCUCUCUACUACAUAGAGGCCCAAAAUUUUACUAUAUGCAACAUAGGCAUUUUAAGCAUUCUAAAAUUCAAAAUAAAUACAUAUAACAAGAAUAUGCAUGCUUUUUCAAUUAAUGAUACUUAAUUCAUCACAAAUGAGAAUUUCUCAUUGUGUGGCUAGGCCAAACCCACCGAACCGUCGCGUGCUCCUUCGAUUCACCGAACGGAGUUGUCCACGAGCCUCAAAAUACCCUAAAAGUAUUGAGCGAAGAGAUACACGGGCAUUACGAUCAACUACAAGAUCAAAUAUUAACUAACAAGACAAAAGGGCUAAAACUCACCUAAAGAGAAGAAAUCUCUUCCAAAGCUCCAAAAGAGAGCUAUAACCCUUCCAAUCCAAGCCCAAGGAAGGUUCUAAACCAACUAAUUUAGCCCCAAAAGCCCUAGAUCAAAAAUGCCCAAAAUCAACCCUACAAUUCCAUUCUAGGGUUCCAUCUACUAAAAACCUUCAAAUCAAAGUCUAGAGGAAGAAAAAGAGCAACAAACCUCCUUAGAAGCUCCAAUCCAAGCUCCAAGAGUGAGAUCUCCUCUUUGACAAGCUCCAAGUUCAACCUCCAAGCACCAAGGAAGAAGAGAGGGUGAGGAAGAUGCUCCAAGUCCACUAUUAGCUCUCAAACUUCUUCUUCUUCCUUCCUUCUUCUCCUUCUCCUUCUUCUUCUUCUUCUCUAUCAAGGGUGUAGAGAGAGUUGAGAGAAGAGAAAUGAGGAGAAGAGAGAGUGGAUGGGUCAUAUAGACCCCUCUAUUGUAACAAAAUCCAGCUAGGUCCCCCCAAAAAUCCAAAAUUACAACAGCCCGGUCUGGGCAGUUUUCGCCCAGAGGGACCGGUCUCUCCCCAACAGGGACCGGUCUCUCACUGCGAACCCGAGAAACCAACGUUCGGGAACCGGUCUCUCCCUGCGCGGGACCAGUCUUUCACUGCGAAGAUGAGCUCGGGGACCGAUCUCGCCCGCCAGGGACCGGUUGCCUCAAGGCUGCCGCAACACUGCUCACUGGGGGACCGGUCUCUCCUUCCAGGGAUCGGACCCCGAGAGUAAAAACUCUCGGGACUUGUCCAGAAUUUCAGUUUUCGAACUUUUUAGGUCGGAAAACAUUCUACAACCCUCCACCAAGUGUGGAAAAGCUCGAAAUACAUCCAAGCACUCGAACCUCGCAAUUUGCAGAGGUCCAGUGUGUUACACGGUCCCUCACCACCAGGGACUGGUCUCAUCAGAGACCCCCGCAACCCAGCCCGAUGGGACCGGUCCCUCCCUGCCAGGGACCGGUCCCCGAGAGCAUUUCUGCUCCCGUGCAAAUUUUGCACUGGUGCUCCCGCGGACCUUUCUUUAAUGCACUUUAUGCAUUAUAAUCACCUUCGGGCUUUCCAAAGCCUACACGCUCGCCAAAUAGUCGAUUCCAAUCGAAGUCUAAUCCCCGAAUUCCGAGGAUUCACUUCCUUACAGUUAGGGUUUCUAAAAGGUUAUCUCGCUCAAUACCUCACAUAUGGAGAUAAACAUAUCAUAUUUAUAUGUUUAGAAGACUUCUAGUGUCACGUCCCGCUAUCGCCAAUUUGGUCGAUCCGGGCCCGUACACAGACGCCGAACGAACAGCACCUCCUCUGUUCGCCCAAGGCUCAACAACAACGAAUACAUGUAUACAGAAAUAAACAAUUCCCAGGAUACAUUUCAAUAUACAUGGCUUGCACGAAGACAAGCAACAACACAAGUGAUAGUAAGUCUAACUAAACAUGAAAUCCACUGUAAUUUAAAACUUUACAUAACUGAAAUAUUUAGUUAUUACAUGCUUUAUAUACAUUCAUUUACAUGUCUCUGUACAUCGAAAUAGAUGAUACAUGAACCCAAAAUGGUAUACCACUAGUACUCGGGUGUCCACUAGCUAGGCUGCUGGCUCUUGCCUCGAUCCUCGGCCACAACACUCGCACUGGAACCUGUAUGGUUAGUGGUGUGAGAACUACAAGAAAGUUCCCAGUGGGUUCGGCUGCCGACCUCACCGACUCACCCACUAGGUCUACUCAGGCAUAUGUAGGCAAGAAAAGUAAAGCAGAUAGUAACCAGCUAUAAUAUGUAACUACUACAAUGCCUGUACAAAGCUGAAGGAAGUAGUAUAUGAAAACUGUAAAUAUGCAUGCAUGCUUUUUAUUAACUUUACCCAAUCUUUUGGUUAACCCUCUGGUUAACAAUAACUCACUGACGCUAUCCCAAAUAUCGGGGAGACGCAACCUGCACCCGACGGGACCGUCAACUGGGGGAGACGCAACCUCCUGGUCCAGUAAAGAUGACUACUCCGGAGCUCAUCGUUCAAGGAGGAGCGACCUCACUUGAACCAAACAAAUGUGAGUAUGAUCUGAUCCUCCUUUAGAGGAUUCAACUGACAAACACUGUCCCACUUUACUCUAACUAGUUCUUUAUGCUAGUUUUAUAAUUCCAAUGUCGAUGCUAACCAAAUCUCUAGUCAUAUGUCACCAAGUUCACUAUUGUUAUAGUCCAUGCAUUCAUAGGGUUCUAUGUCCACAUUCUAUGUUCAUAUGUUCUUACUUGCAUAAUGCCAAUGCCCAUACCCUAUAAUGCAUGAAAACAGAAGUAAAUAUGCUCAAUGAAUAGCAUAGACAUAAAAGGUGAUUCAAAGACUUCGGAUAGCACCACCCACC